GUGUGUGAGAGAGAGAGGUCCUCUCAAAGCACAUUUGCAUAGGCUCUUCAAAUGUUGGAUAACACAUUUGGAAGAAUAGCUUCCCUUGCAAAUGAAUGUGCACAUGCCAUGGAAUGGUCUCAUGUCAAGAUAUGGACUCAUGUCCCUUCAGUCUUGACUAUUCCAUAUAGGGCCAGCUCUCAUCACAAGACGCUCGGAUUCUUUUACACUCGAUUAGUAACUCCAAGCAUUGGCUAAUCAUAUCAAUUAUGAGGCAUUCUAACCUAUAUUGUCUUUACUCGGAGGUAACCCUCACACCUCCUAGAGAUACCACUCUCUCAAAAUGUAAACUCUCAAUGCCUCACACGUACUCGGGGUAUUAGAACCGGGGCUCCAGUGUACAAAGCACCCAUAUUCUAUCUCUCACUCACUCCUACUAAGCGAGAGACUUUUGGUAUUAAGGUCUUGAAAGGUCAUAUUGUGAAUAUUCUCCCACUUAGCUUUUUGAGGCCUUAAUCGGAUCUCGCUCUCAAUAAAUCACAUAAUAAAACAACGUAACAAAUCCAUUCUUAUAGUUCUAAUAGUAGAUGUAGGUAAUAUAAUACUAAGAGGCUAGAUUCAUAACUUUUAAAAAAAUUCCAUUGAAUUAAAACAUGUGGUGAGAUUAGGGCUUGGAAUAGGUUUGGUCUGGUCUGGAUUGAACUGGGUGAGCGGGUCCAGUUCCCUAGAGAUUAGGGUUUAAAGAUUUGGAACAGACCUAGACUUGGGCCAGAUCCAAGUCAAUUGCACCCAGAGCGGACAUUGGUCUAACAAUAACAAAAUAUGUUUUAUAAUAUAGUUGCUAUAUAUAUAUAUUGCACAUAUAAGAACUUGGCUUUAUCAAGUUGGGAUGACUCAGACCUGACAUGGGUCGAGUCUCAGUCAAAUGGACCCAGAUGCAACCCAUCUAAUCAAUUGUUUGGGUAUAAACCCAAACGUGGUCGGGUCGGCCCAUCGAAUCCAUGGGUUGACCCAACCUAUUUCCCACCCCUGGCAGAGAGGGUAGGUGCCUGGUCAAAGGGGUGGGAGGGUAGGCGCCUAACAUCUUUGACAAGAUGCAUGGUUUCUUUUUUUCUUUUAUUUUAAGAAAGAGUGGAAUCAUAUAAGAUAUUAGUCUAUGAGAUUUUAUUUUAUUUAUAAAAUAGUGAAAUCAUAUAAGAUACUAUUCUACGAGUACAUAAACAUCUGUCCACAAGAGGGAGAGAGGGGAGCCCCAACCUUACAAUCAUUUGGAAGCAGGGGUGUGAAUGGGUUGGUCAGGUCUAAGAAAGCCCGAUCCAAACCCACACCAACCCGACUAUGUCCUAAAAGAUAUGGGUAUUUAUCUUUUAGAACUGAACCCAAGUAUAACCGACUCCAAAUAAUUGGAAAAAGACUAUGAUGAUGAUGACUCAGGUCAAGUCAUCUCACUACCAUAAAUGGUAGUGGACCCAACCGAUGCCACCCCUAUUUAGAAGGAGCAUGACUUCUCUUUUAUUUUUAUUUUUAUUUUUAUUUUAAGAACUGGUAAACCCUAUAGACAUUAGUCUGCUAAAUAUAUGAGACUGAAGAGUAUGUUGUUUUAAAAAAUUGCAGAGUUCAAAACAGCUUGAGGCUCAACUAAAGCAACUGUCAAACAGUUAAGUGAAGUUCAGUUUCAAACAGAAAACAGUGCAUUUUCUCAACUACAAGUCUUCAGUACAGUCAAAUGUGUCUUAGAUAACCAAGCAAAUAACUAAAGGAAGAAGAUAUUUUGAACUCUAAUGGGGUCGAAUAUGUAGGGGUAUCAGAAAAUCGCAAUCAAAAUCUAUUGGCUGCUGAAAUGGUGGACAAGCGGUAGAGAAGUGUCAGCACAUGUCAUCACUGAUGAGACAAUGGCAAAGCUCAUGGGCAGCUAGGAAAGAGACGAAAUGUGAUUAAAUUUCAGGUGCCAAUGUCUCCACAUAACAUUCCCCCCUGCAUUCCUGUCUUAAAAUAAUAAUAAAAGGAAGCAAAUGAGAGAAGGAAGUGCGGUGGAAUUUUAUAGCUGCGACAAAAGUCAUAAUCUAUGAUUAAAAAUCCAAUCCGCCCAGUAGUUUCUACUUAGCAAAGUUAAUCGGGAUUGCGCCUUUGGCGAGCCCAAGUUGUUUGAGUGUCGAUAAUAAAAAUAAUGAUAAUUUUUAAAAAAAAAAAUAAAAAAUUAAUUUGGGAUACAUUUUUUUUGGGAAAAAUUAUGUAUAUAUCCAUUAUUACUAAAAUAUCAAAUAGUUUCUGUUAUUACUGGAAUGUCCGUUUUUUUCACUUCAUAACGAUUUUUUUUUUAAAAAAAAAUGACUUUUUUACCCUUUUUCGGUUUUUGAACAGUUGAAAUAGCUAGAUUUUCGGUUGUUCAAAGACCGAAAAUAAGCUAAUUUCAGUUAUUGAACAACCGAAAAUAACGGUGCUUGUUUAAACUUAUGGAAUACGGAGUACUAUUAUCGGUUGUUGAACAACCGAAAAAAAAAAAUGCAAAUUCUAAGCUUUUGUCAUUUUUUUUGUUGUUGAACAAACGAAAAUAUGACAUUUUCGGAUGUUGAACAACCGAAAACAUGACAUUUUCGGAUGUUGAGCAACCGAAAAUGUUCUAGCAAGCUUCUGGAAUACACAGUCAUAUUUUCGAUUGUUCAACAACCGAAAACUAUACAUUUUUUGAUGUUGAACAACAAAAAAUAGAACUGCAUAUUCCAGCAACCUUCUGGAAUAUACAAUCUUAUUUUCGGUCAUUCAACAACCGAAAACAAGGCAUUCUCGGUUGUUCAACAACCGAAAAUAAAACAAAAAAAGGUAAAAAAGUCCUUUUUAAAAAAAUUUCGUUAUGAAAUGAAAAACGGACAUUCCAAUAAUAACGGAAACUAUUUGGUGUUUUGAUAAUAACAGAAACUAUAAUAGAUAUAUACGUAAUUUUCCCUCUCUUUUUUUAAAAAGUUUAUAUAGAGUUGAAGCUCUAAAUAAUCAAAUUAGAGCCUGCUUCAAAAAUUUCACUAGAUGAGGUCGUUUUGAUGUCCAAAUAUCCUCAAAUUAAUCACCUCAACAUUAAGAUAGAUGCAUGGACACGAAAGAAAAAAAUGGAUUUCAAGUUUUGAAAAUAAUGCAUAUUUGUAAUGCAUUUUUGGACAGUCAAUUUUCAAGAUUUUCAUAUAUCUGCUCGAUCUACGCUAUUUUUGAAGCUUUAAAUUUUAUAAUUAAAUAUAAAAAUAUAUUAUAAGUCUAUCACAAGUAUUUCCAGUAGUGAAACCACAUUUCUCCACACUAUAGAAGGUGCACUUUACUUUGAUUGUUUAAAGCUUCGUCUCCAUACAAACCACACCUUUUUUUAUAUAUAUUUCCGUCAUUUUAAAAAAGAUUGGAAAGUGUUUGUGUCAUAAAUACUUAUUUUACAUACUAUUUUUGAAUUAUUUCAAAAAUACCCCCAGCAGCAACCUCAUUUUUAAAUCUAUGUUUUUACUACUUUCUUAAGGUCAUUUUGAAGUGUUUUGCUUGAUCCUCCUUUAAACAUGCAUUUUCUAUUUUUAAAAAAAAAAUUUAUCUUUUUUUUAUAAUCAUUCGACUUUUUUUUUAGCUGCUAAUCACGUAGAAUUACUUGGACUAGGCUCGGACCACUCGGUCAGAGUCGCACUUCUAACAAUGGUCAUAACCACUCCAAAGACACCCUCUGAAAAAAGCUCAUAAAGGCUUAAUUGUGGUGAGAAGUGCAUCCUUUCUCUGAAGCCUAGAGAAGCUCUAAAAAGGCUUCUGGACAAUUACGCUGAGAAGUUCAGACCCUCUCUAAAUUGUGGCCAACGGUUGAUAAAAAGGACUGGGGAUUGUCUACAAAGAUAUUUUUUCGAACUUUGUAACCCAUCCAAGCUAUCAAACUUCGUAUGGUUACAAGUAAUUAUGACCAUCUUGUAUCAAAGAUAAAUAGCCUCAUUGUAUACAAUCUUUUCAUCUUUUGUACAUGGAUAUUACAAUCAUACUUGUCCCUUAAAUUUUAAAAUGGGUGAUUAUAAAAAUGCUAUUUAAUAGAUACAAAGUUCAAAAAAAAUUUCCCGAUCUUUGUAACUCAAUCCAAACCAUCAAAUUUGACAUCUAAAGAGCGAGAAUGCAUGUGACCUCCACAUAAAAAAGAUAAAUGGUUUCUCUAUAUAAAAAAAAUCCCAAAACUUAAUACCUUUUAAGUGACCCUUAGCCUCAGCUCCACUAAGCGUGUGUUUCUCACACAAAUUGAAAGUGCAUCAAGAAACCCUAAAUCUCUCUCCGUCUAUCACAAGACCUCAGGGGCUAGAAAAUGUCCCUGAUUUAGCCAAAAAGAAGCUUAUCCGUAAGCAAUAUAGGACUAAAAAUCUCUCUUAAGCAUGUUUAAAUUUUGAAAAAAAGGCUAAGCAAACUGAAAAAUUCAAUUGUUUUGAGACACUUUUAGGUCUUGCGCUCGACUAGAGUUUGAAAAACAGAUUAGUGAAUUGGAUCACCAUCUAGAAAACUAGUCCAAAUCGGUGAAUAGGCAGUCCUGAGAGUCGAUCUAGCCAAGUGAAUCAGCCAAAUAAAAAAAAAAAGGACUAAAAUAAUAAAUUGAAAGGAACAAAAAAAAAAAUGGACCCGGAUUAGCUUGUUCCUUGACAUAAACGAUCGGUUUUAUUAGAUAACUGGCCGCUUGUAAGAACCGACCAGUUUCCAAUAUAUGAUGGGAACCGGACUAAUCUCACUGAUUCCCGAUCCAGAUUGGUGUUUCAUAAAACCCUGAUCUCAACCAUCCUGAUACAAAUAUGACCUGUGUAUCACGGUCAUUUAUCAAUCAUGUUGACCCGUUCCAAUGUGCGCUCUCUCUCUCAAGUAAUUCAGUUUAGCAAAUAGAGAAAAUGAAGAUGAAAGAUCAUGUCAAACAACCAACAGUACACUAACUCAAAAAAAUUAAAGGUAAUUUGGAUGAUGCAGGGUGUCUUAAUUACUCUUAUUAUACAUCGAUUAGAAAUCCUUCCAGUUUGAGUAAGAUGUCGCAAUGAAUAAAUGACAUCCAUCCAAAAUGCCACGGUUCUUUAGGGAGGAUGAAUUCCUUGUUAUGGUCUAGAAAAAGUAUUAAUGCUGCUUUUUUAAACACAGCACCAAAAUCAACAUGAAUCAGAGGAAAAAAAAUAGAUAGCUAAAAAAAAGAUCAAGUGAAAGGAGUAACAGAUUAAUAUAGAAACACUCAAACUGAAAAGCCUAUGAGAUUAAAAGUGAAAGGUGAAAACAAAGGCAUUCGAUCUUUGAAGUUCAGUGUUGUUUAUUCAGCAUCAGAUAAAACCCAAAACCUAGAAACCCCACAAAAGAUUCCAUGCUUCUAAAAACUGACUCACAUUAAGAUUUACUUCCUGAAGAAAUUGACUUAGCAAACCACACAAAAAGAACCAGAGACUAAAUGUAUGAAAGAAAAGCCCAUGAAAAUUCCGCCACAUGUCGAUGUACCUUAAUUAAUGCAAAACUCAGAUACUACACACUCUUAUACUUAGCAUUAUCAUGAUACGCUAACACAAAUCAACUUUUUUCUUUUUUCUUUUUAUAAGGGAAAAGAAAAGCGCUACUGCAUGUCCAACUAUUGACAAUGGCUUUAGCCCACAAGCAAGAUGACAGCAGUCCUAAAGAAGAGCACUUCUGGAUAAGAUCAUAUUAACAGCAGAUAAUCUACCUCAGAAUAUGUUCAUAGGAAGCUAAUGGUAGAGCAGACUCUGGGCUGGACUUGUGCGAGUGCAUGCUUGUGCACGUCCAUGCUUACGUGUGCAUAUGAGAAAGAGAGAGCAAUGUAAUGGAGUUAAUGAAGUUACGUACACAUGAGCAUACAAAGAACGCAUGUAAGAAGUCCCUUCUAGUGGGUUAAGUAGGAGCUCCCAUCCCAAUCAAUAUUUUAUAAGAAAUUUCAUGGGUCACAGGGUGGUGGUCACUAGCAGUAGGGCAGUGAUUGAUGGGUAGUGAAGUGCCAACCAUUCUACCGUUCAAGUGUCUAAUCCAAUGGUUCGAAAGAGAACUCCCAAUAACCAGAUACAAGGGACCUCCGGCAGCAUCAGUUCCCUGCAUACAGUGUGCAUGGGUUUUCCUUUCAAGUCCAGUUCGAGAUGAUCAACAAAGAGCUCGCCUUUGUUUUUGUUUUUUUUGUUUUUUUUUUUUCUCAAUAAGCAAAUAGUCUGUUAUAAAGCAAGAAACAAGAGACCGGAACAACAUGUAUAGCACGUACACAGAAAGGACUCAUAACAAGGGGGGGAAACCAUACACACUUGGAUUAAAAACCAUAGUUUUCAUCCCCUGCUCACCCUUCACACAUAUUUUCCUUUUUCAUACAUGGACCUUUUUACAACUGCAGAUAACGGGAAAUAAAAUGAUUCAAUUUAGUACUUAGUAGAGUGGCUAUAGAGAUCCAAUUUGCAUGGAAACAUGAAAAAUAUACAUCAAUAAGAGAUUAAAAUGAUCUAUCAGAAAAACAAAAGGAGUUGUCAUUGUUCAAAGAAUUACAAUUAAAGAAAAUAUACAGCAACAAUUCAAGGACAUACCAACACAUAAAUCGACCAUGUUUCUUUCAUGGGAAAUAUAAGAAAAAAUCAUAGUCCAUAAAACAAGUGCCACUCAAAAACUGAAUGUCACUGGAGUUUGGAACCUCACCUAAAAUAAAAUUGCCGCCAAUUGGUUUUCUUUUUUUGGUAGGUCAACGGUGAGAUUCAAACAUGGGACAUAAUGUUGCGAUCGUCCACACUGUAGGCAUCAAGUCCAUUUCCUACUUCCCUAUAUCAAAUUUUGUUGCCAUUGUGUCUUGAAAGGAUGGCAUCAGAAGCACUAUUUAACAAAUCAGAAUCAAGCCCUGACUCGGCAGGAGUCUGAUUCUAAUUUUCCCGAUGAGACUCGGAUGAUUCAUGAACUGGAUCAGGCUACAGAUUUGCAAAUAAAUUAAAAAAGGAAAAAAAAAGUAGAGCAAUCGAAGAAAUCAGGCAAUUCCAAGGAUUUUCCAUCAGGAAUCAUCCAUCUCAUGGUUCCAAUCAUACUCGACUGAUUCCAAGUUGGACCGGUAAUUUUUUAGUUGCUAAGCAUCUUGGAAAAGCUUUUUUUGAUAAUCAACACUACCAAUCUCCAUCGCACUACGGUGCAAUUUUAUUAUUGAAAAAGUUUAUAUAAGGUGUUAACCUAAUACUAUUGAACUAAGGUGCACCUCUAAAAUACUCCCAAAGAGAGUGUUCUAACGGCCUUGAGAGAUAUGGAUACAAAGAAAAAAAGAAUUUCAAGUCUAAAAAUAGUACAUCUUGCAGCAAGUUAUUUGGACCAUCUAUUUUCAAGAUUUUCAAAUAUUUAUAUAUCUGCUGAAUUUGUACCAUUUUUGAAAUUUUAAAUUUCAAAACUAGGGAUGAAAAUAGAUUUUUAAGCCAUCAUAAGGUUUCUAACACCGGAACUGCAUCUUCAAACAAAAUUUAGAGGUGCGCCUUACUUCUAGAAAAUAAGGAGAGCACCUCAUAUAAACCUCACCCUUUUAUUAUUCAAAAGUUCUAAAAAAUAAGAAAGCACCUGUAGGACAGAAAAAGGCAGUCUACCAAUAGAAACACUAGAAUAUGGUGAUGAGAUUUACUUAAUAUCCAAACAUUCGAAACAGCAAGCUGCAUAUGAGCAAUUGAAGUAAAGAACAGCAGUAUAUGAUGCACUUCUUUUUUGUUAAGCCAUAUCAUACACUAUAGGACAAGAUUCAAUGAAUUUCUCAGCUCCCUAAUUCUGUGAAAACAUUACAUAAGGUCAAUAAUGCUUCAUGAUGCUAUUAUUACUAUAAAACAUGUGGUUCGUUAUAUUUGUGAUAAUAUAGUAAAUACAAUAUGAUGUGACACAUCAGCUUUUGCAUUAAAGCACCAGUUCAUUAACCUGCUGUAUUUAUAAUUAGCUUUAGAUUAAAGGAUAUAGUUUUACAAGUUUUACAGAUUCAAGCCAGCCAAUUUCUCAAGACCUAGACGGCAUAACAAAAGAAGGAAGUACUUAAUUGCAAGCAAAAGCUAAGAAUAGCCCAAGUUGAGAUAGCUAAACAGAACCUUCUUAAUCUUACUUGAAGCAUGACAUCCACAGAUAAAUGCAUACCAUAGUGAUCGAAUAGCAGGUAGAGAAUAAAAUCCCUGUAGUAGCCAAACUUUGUGACUAUACUCCCCUGCACACUUAGCAGUUCGUCAUUCAAUGCAUUUAGAAAGGAAUUUUUAAAUUUCCUAGAAACAUGACCAAUUGAUUAGUGGCACCUAGCAAAAGAACAUCAAAAUCUGAGCAAUUCAUAUAAAUAAGAAUCCAAAAAUAAAGGGAAAUAAACCAUUAUACCAACUUCCAAAAGUGUCUGAAACCUGGCUUCCCUAAGACAGGGACAUCAUCUAGAUGCAUACCUUGAAACUCAAAUAAUCAAUGUUUCAAGAAUACAAAUUCAUCAAGUACGCCAGUGAUGACGACUAUAACACUUAAUGGAUUUUCAAGAAAAAGAACAAUACGGUUAAUUUUCAAUCAAUAGGUCCAUAUCCCCCCGGCUCCAAAAAAAANNNNNNNNNNNNNNNNNNNNNNNNNNNNNNNNNNNNNNNNNNNNNNNNNNNNNNNNNNNNNNNNNNNNNNNNNNNNNNNNNNNNNNNNNNNNNNNNNNNNNNNNNNNNNNNNNNNNNNNNNNNNNNNNNNNNNNNNNNNNNNNNNNNNNNNNNNNNNNNNNNNNNNNNNNNNNNNNNNNNNNNNNNNNNNNNNNNNNNNNNNNNNNNNNNNNNNNNNNNNNNNNNNNNNNNNNNNNNNNNNNNNNNNNNNNNNNNNNNNNNNNNNNNNNNNNNNNNNNNNNNNNNNNNNNNNNNNNNNNNNNNNNNNNNNNNNNNNNNNNNNNNNNNNNNNNNNNNNNNNNNNNNNNNNNNNNNNNNNNNNNNNNNNNNNNNNNNNNNNNNNNNNNNNNNNNNNNNNNNNNNNNNNNNNNNNNNNNNNNNNNNNNNNNNNNNNNNNNNNNNNNNNNNNNNNNNNNNNNNNNNNNNNNNNNNNNNNNNNNNNNNNNNNNNNNNNNNNNNNNNNNNNNNNNNNNNNNNNNNNNNNNNNNNNNNNNNNNNNNNNNNNNNNNNNNNNNNNNNNNNNNNNNNNNNNNNNNNNNNNNNNNNNNNNNNNNNNNNNNNNNNNNNNNNNNNNNNNNNNNNNNNNNNNNNNNNNNNNNNNNNNNNNNNNNNNNNNNNNNNNNNNNNNNNNNNNNNNNNNNNNNNNNNNNNNNNNNNNNNNNNNNNNNNNNNNNNNNNNNNNNNNNNNNNNNNNNNNNNNNNNNNNNNNNNNNNNNNNNNNNNNNNNNNNNNNNNNNNNNNNNNNNNNNNNNNNNNNNNNNNNNNNNNNNNNNNNNNNNNNNNNNNNNNNNNNNNNNNNNNNNNNNNNNNNNNNNNNNNNNNNNNNNNNNNNNNNNNNNNNNNNNNNNNNNNNNNNNNNNNNNNNNNNNNNNNNNNNNNNNNNNNNNNNNNNNNNNNNNNNNNNNNNNNNNNNNNNNNNNNNNNNNNNNNNNNNNNNNNNNNNNNNNNNNNNNNNNNNNNNNNNNNNNNNNNNNNNNNNNNNNNNNNNNNNNNNNNNNNNNNNNNNNNNNNNNNNNNNNNNNNNNNNNNNNNNNNNNNNNNNNNNNNNNNNNNNNNNNNNNNNNNNNNNNNNNNNNNNNNNNNNNNNNNNNNNNNNNNNNNNNNNNNNNNNNNNNNNNNNNNNNNNNNNNNNNNNNNNNNNNNNNNNNNNNNNNNNNNNNNNNNNNNNNNNNNNNNNNNNNNNNNACUGAGAUCGUCUUUAAUCAAAACAAUGACCGUCAGGACCAUAUCCGAAAAUCUCCAUAUGUGAAAUCCAGUUGUUAUCCACAAUCCACAUUAAGGGAUAUAGGUUCUCCUAAAGUAUACAGAUGAUAGAAAAAAGAAAGAAAGAAAAGGCCAAAGACAUAGAAAAGAAAUAUACUAAUGGCAAUUUUACUGGAUCCCAAAAUCUCUACAUUAAAAAUCAGGUGUUAUUGACAUAGCUUACAAUAAUGAAACAUAGAUCACAUCAAAUAGGUAGAUCAGUACAUAUACAUGCAUUGCUAGCUUGUCAGUGAAUCGAUUAGCUUGUUAAGAUCACUUUUAUGGCUACUUUUAAACUAGCUCCCACUAAAAACACUGAUGUUCUAGAGCCAUCUACUACACUAGAAGGCUGAGUGCUACUUGCUUGUGUGGAGCCAAGGUUCCCAAAGCCUCCAAGACGAACUUUUUAUUUGGAACAGUGCCAUCUUUAUCCAUUCUUUGGUUCUUUAAUCCAAAGAACCACCGCUUUCAAAAUUUCCUAAAAUAUGUGAAUCCAGUUGUUAUCCAUGUAAUAAGAGAUAUAGGUUCACCUAAACUAUAGAAAUAAUAGAAAAGAAAAAAGAAACAAAGAAACAAAGAAACAAAAGGCAAAAGACCUAGAAAAUCAAUAUACUAAUGGCAAUUUUACUGGAUCCCAAAAUCUCUACAUAAAAGAUCAGGUAUUGUUGACAUAGCUAACAAUAAUGAAACAAAGCUCACCUCAAACAGGUAGCUCAUCACAUUGACAUGGUUUACUAGCUGGUCAGUGUACCAAUUAGCCUGUUAAAAUCGCUUUUAUGGCUAGUUUUAAACUACUCCUUACUACUCAAAACUGGUGCUCUUGAACCAUCUACUACACUAGAAGGCUGAGUACUAAUUGCUUGUGUGGAACCAAGGGUUCCCAAAGCCUCCAAGAAGAACUUUUUAUUUGGAACAAUAUCAUCUUUCUCCAUUUGUUUCACUAGCAUCUCUAAAAGGUCCAUCAUGUUGGCUUUUGUGUAUGCCUUAUAAAGAAGUUUAUAUGUCGAAGAAUCAGGCAAAACCUCCUUUGUGCGUGCAUAUUGCAAGAGGAGGUCAGCUUCACCAGUCAACCCAUUCAUACAAUACACAUCAAGCAUUGUAUUCAGUGUCGAGACUUGUAUCUGCAUACCUGAAUCUAUCAUCUCAGAGAAUAUAUCUCUUGCCCUAGAGACACAAUCACAAUACCCAUAAGCCAUCAUCAGGCUCUCAUAUGUGAUAAAACUCGGUUUAUAGCCUAAAUCAAUCAUUUUCCUAAAAACCCAUUCAGCCUUCUCCCUGAGCCUAGCUUUUCCAUAGUUGGUAAUCAUUGAAUUGAAUGUUGGUAAUGUAGGCUUUUCCUUGGAGCGCAACAAGCUCUUGAAUACUUGCUCCAUCUUAUCGAAAGCCUGGCGUUUCCCAUAUGAAUCGAUUAGUAAGUUAUAUGUGAUUGUGUCGGGUCUACAUUGGUUCUUUCUCAUUCGCAAUAGCAUUGCCUCCAAUUCAACAAGCAUUCCAUUCUUCCCAUACGCAUCCAUAACACCAUUGUAAGUGUAAAUAUCAGCUGAAAGAGCAUUUGUUUCGAGAUCUACGAAUAGGGUUUCAACCUGGUAGACAUCUCGAGACUGUGCAAAAGCCCUUAAGAGAAUGUUAUAAGUGACAAUGUUGGGUUUACAUCUCUCUAUACCUUUCAUCUUUUCCAAGUAUCCCAUGGCUUUGGCCAAGGCCUUUGUUUUAUCCUUUGAAUGCAAAUGUGCAGUGAUAAGAGCAUUGUACACCGAAGUGUCCGGCCGACAACCACUGUUGCGCAUCUCAGAGAAGAGCCACAUUGCCAUUCGGGUCUGCCCUUUCUUUCCCAUUACUGAGAUCAACUUUGAAUAAAUACCGUUAUCUGCAACAUACCAUUGUUGUUUCUGCAUCCAUCUGAAUACCUAGAUACAAAAUCAGAAAACUGUAAGGAAUAACAAUAUUCUGCAUUUCGCAUACACAUGUGUACGCACAUAGAGAGACAGAGAGAGGUUCACUAAUAAAUUUGAAAAAAAACAACAGGCUCUCACAUUUCCCUAAUGAAGCAAUUUGCACUUUCAAAGGCCAGUUGAUCCUUGACCAAUUCGGAGAGGAAGUGGUGUUCUUUUCAAUAACAUAAUUUGGAGUUACUCACAAAUUUUUCAUGAAUGGAAAUGUUAUUAAUAUCCAAAACAAGCAGGAUAUAUUACACACUUUUAUGGGCAUUAUAGUAUUGGGAAAUAUUUGUCAAAAAAUACACGAUGACAUGUGAUGCAACAUGAUGGCACUCAUGCUCGCUUCAUUGUGCUUGCAACUUGGGGCACAUUAAAAAAAUUUCCGAAAAAUCCCAAAAAAUUGUUUAAAAAGGGGAGAUUAUUCUAUACAUUUUUUUAUAAUUUGGAUGUUAUUGGCAAAGACUGGUGAGUUUUUUUAGCAUAAUUAUAUUUUCUUUUUUUAUUUUUUAAAAUGUCCCCAACUAUUUUUUGAAAUCCAUGUUUUCUAUACCUUUUUAAGCCUAUUUGGAGUUUUUAAGGUUGUUUUUUGGUUUUAUUUAACUCUUAGUAGCUUCAUUGUAAAUUUUCCUAUUUUAAAAUUUAUCUAGGGCUUUUGGUCCUGUACAGAACACGACCAAGUAACUAGCCUUGGCCAAAAGCCGAGUCCCUUGGCCGAGGAGAGUCGGUCUCAUCAAAUGGCCAAACUAGCAGAAAGUAUCCGUAAUUCAUGGUAAUCAUACUUGGAUUAUGUACGAUUCAAUAAUAAUAAUAAUAAUAAUAAUACUUGGAUUAUGAAAAGGGAUAAAAGAAUGGUUGCUCUAAAUGUUAAGUUUUUGACAAGCAUUCGGCAUGAAAAUCAUCUAAUGAUCUGCUAGCUCCUGAGGUAAUUGUUUUUUUAGCAGCUAAUUGUAACAGUUUGUCUUUUCAGAUGCACAGGUAGGCAUUAACUACAUCAAUCAAAUUAGAUAGAAUCGAAUAUAAAAGAAGCAUCCAUUAAAAAAACCAUUAGCUUCAUGAAAAGAACAUAGAAAUAACUCAAAAGAACAAUAAAUGAAUAACUGCUGAAAUUAACAGGAAAAAAGCAAGUGGGGCCAAACUCAAACCCAUCAAACACAAAAAAAACAAAAAUAACCAGCUCUAAAAAGAACCCCUAAAAGCGAAAAAGAAUAAAAUCUUCUGAAACAUCAAAAACCCACAUAAUCUAUAACAAAAAAAUCAGGGAAAACAAUGCUUACUUCAAGACAUUGUAGCCAAUUAUCCCUCUUCCCAAGCUCUUCAAAAAGAAGGAAACAAUGCUCAUUUCUAAUAAUUCUCACAUACUUGUUCAGUGUGCUUAUUAAAGGCUUAUCCUUGCUCGAAUUUCUCACCAACACUGAAACAAGCUCUUCCACCUCUGACUUUUCACUAUUCUGUGACCUCCUCUUCUUUGAGGGAGCCAAACCACAUGUAAUAAAUUUGGGAGCUUUUUUGCAGAGGAAAAACUUCGCCACUAAAUUUGGCGGGCGCUCUCCAAAUUUGGUAGAGAGAUUGAUUCGUUGUUCAGUGAAUAGUGAUGGAGAGGGGAGGAUUUGAAGGGGAGAAAGAGCAGAGAGAUUUGGAGGCAUUUUCAGUGGAGUGUUGCCAAAGUUAGGGGAGGAGGAGACGGGGAAAGAGAGAGAGAGACUCUCCACAUUUGGGGCAGUUUCAGCGUGCUGCAAAACCUGCACAUGUGCCCCCUUGUAUAAUGCCGCUUAAAUAUGGAUUUUAGAUCCAAAUUAUGAUCUUGUUAAAGUCAACAUGAAUAUUGAAAAGAGAAAAAUCAAGUUAAAAAUGUGUUUUUUUUGGGGGAUUUGUUUUUUGUGUAGCAUCCAUAUGUUAAUUUUAGCAAGAGCCCGCUGACUCAUGAAGAACUUUUCCUCCUAAAAGUGGUGUUGGAGUCGGACGCCCCCAACUUUUGAGGGGUUAGUCCGUAAGAACUCAUUUUAAUUUUAUUUAACAAAAUAUGUUUAAUUUUAUUUAAUGGGUUUGGUCUAGUCGAAUCUUAGUUUUACAAAUCGGUUGGACCAAAUUUUAAAAAAUAUAUAUAAAAAAAAAUCUGAUAAUUAAAAAAUAUAAAAUAUAUUACGAAAAUAUAUUUCAAUUUUAUUUAGCGAGACAAAUCUGGUAAAAACAAGGUGGUCGAAUAGGGUAAAAAUUAAGUUUUUGCUUUAGUAGAUCAAAGUAGGCAUCAUUAUGUAAUAGGAUUAGAUAAUAUGUUUUAGUGUUGAUAAUAAUAGUGUUUGAUUACUCGGGUGAGCCAUCUCGGACUCGCUCAAGUAACUCGGACGCACUACCUCGGUGAGCCUGAGUAUCUCCGAGUUGUGUGUCCAACUCGAUGAUCUCAAAAAAAAAUCAAAAAACUUAAAAAAAAUUGACUCACCACCCUAGCAAGUCUGAGUAAUCACGAGUUGUGUAUCCAACUCCAGGAUCUAAAAAAAACAAAAAGAAUUAAAAAAAAUCAAUAAAUAAGAAAUUUAUUAAUCAUAUGUUUUUUUGUUUCAUAUCAUUUUGGCAAAGAUUGGAAAGUGUUUAGGUAUGAAUACUUAUAUUCCUUUUUCGAUUCGUUUUUUAUUAUUUCUAAAAUACCACCAUCACAUAUUGACUUUUUCAAAAUCCAUUUUUCAUAACUUUUUUAACCUCAUUAGAAUGUGUUUUGUUUAAUUGUACUUAAACAUAUUCUUCCUCUCUUUUUUUAUUUUUUGUUUUUUAUUUUUAACACUUUUUGGCCUUGACCAGAACUCGGCCCAACUCAGCCCGAGUUCCUCGGACUCGAGCCUAGUUCUCAGCUCGGGACUGGGCUAAGCAUCCGGCCCAACUCACUCUUUCCAAGACAGCAAGAUUUGGACCCGCCAAGGCAACGAUUGACGAUCCAACUAGUUGACAAGACAGUCCAAUGUCAUGUUUAACGAAACCUAAAAAUCAAUUGAUUCUAGUUUUUAUAAAGGGAUUGUAUACAAUGAGACAAUGUACCUUUAAUACAAUGAAGUCACAAGUAUUUAUAACCAUCUUAUGUGAAAUCCAAUAGCUUAGGUGUGUCCUAUAGUUUGAGAAAAAUUCUUUUAAAGUUUAAGCUUGGUAAAUAGAAUAAAUGCAUCCAUUCAAUUUCACAUCCAAUGAUAACAAUUAAUUGUGACCACCUUGUACCAAAGGUAAAUAGUCUCGUUGUAUUUUCUCUUUCAAUAUGCUUCUAUUGUGUCAAUAAACGAUUGUGUCAAUUAGAUUUUUCAAUAAAAAAAUCAUUUCUCCAAUCAAUAAACGAUUUAAUCCCUCAUUUAUGAUGGCAAAAACCACAAUAUACCACAAUUAGGUUAAUAAUAGCAUGGUAAAAAAUCAUUUUGUCUUUUCAUGAAGUUCCAAAGCUCCAGCCUGCAAAUUGAAGUUUUCCCUUCUCUAAACUUGUCGUUUAAUAGAUCACAUCCCCUAAGAAUGGGUUCCAAAAAGUACUCCUAAUUGCGGUUUUGCUCAAUGGAGCAAAUGCAUAUUUUGCUCUUAUGGGUGUAUACUGAUCUUGUGAGUUUAUGAAAAGACAAAAUACCUCCCAGAGGAAAAUGUUUAUACAAGGUUGACACUUUAAAAUAUGGAAUUAAGAUACAUAUCUAAAAUCCUUCAAAAAAUGUUGUUUUGACGUUCGAAAAACAUUGGAUUUAUCACCUCGACAUCGAGAUGUAUAAAUAUGAAAAAAAAAAAAAGAGAUUUCUAAUCCUAAACAUAACACAUCUUGUAACACAUUAUUUAGACUGUCCUAAAAAGUUUUUAAACCAAAAUUGCAUUUCAUUACAAAGUUUGGAGGUGCACCUUACUUUGAAUGUUUAAGGUUGUACCCUUUAUGCAAACCAUGCCCUAUUCUAAAUCAGUAGUUUUGGCGAUUUUUGAAAUUAAAUAUAAGCAUCUUGAAAUCAAUUAGAACAUGAAAUGUUAAAUAGUUCCAUCUCAGAGGUUCUUUUUUUAUCAAUUUUCCUAAAAUAAUUUAGGAAAAUUUUAAAUAAAUUAAGAAGAAUAUUAUUAAAUAGCUUGAAUUUUCUUACAAAACUAUUAAAUGGCUCAAAGGAUUUCAUGAAUCACUGUGGUCUAAUUUUUUAAAUUUUAUCUCAUAAAAGUGUCUCUCUCAAAAAUAUUGGUGAAAAAAAUUCUAAAUUACCCAAGUUCAAAGUUGGGAAUCCCAAACAAACAGAGAUAUUGUGGUAAUUUAGGCUCCUUAAGUGGGCCUGGAAAUAGGCCGAGCCUGGGCCCAGACAAAAACUCAUAUAUUGCUCACUUUUUUUGGACCAUUCGAUAGGCCGUCCUUCUACAAUAGCCUUUAGACAUAACUCUCUUCGGAUAGGAUUUAAUUUUAUGUGAAAUCAAUUGUCUUGUCUAAAAUUAAUAUACUAUAGAUAAUAGUAUUAUUUUUACUUGUUUGGUAGUAUCGUAUAUUUUGCAUAAUAUCAUUUAAUUAUUUAUGUAUUUAAGUUAUUUUUAGCUACUUUUAAAGCAACAAAAAUGUGAAUUUCAGCUAAUUACUUUGAAGAAAAUGCAAAUAGUUAUUCAAAUAAUAAAAUUAAUUACAAAAUCGCCUAUAAGUUUAUUUGAAAUGACCUUAUGAUGGAUCCUGCCUGAUAACUUGUUAUCCAUAAUAAUUAUUUUAUUGAAACAGUGACUUAUCCAUGAUAAACAGUGCAUUCAAACAGGUACCAAGACAUUCAAAUAGAAACAAGGCUUCUCUCGAUGAAGUGCGAUGUUUUUAUUAAAGAGGGGCCUAUCUAAAGUUACAUGUAUGGUCAUCAUGCAUUCACCCAUAAUCAUGAUGUUAUCACCCUUGCAUCAAUGGGUUGGAGGGUCAUUAUGGGUGCACGUCCCCGCUUCUCCUCAUCAACGUCAACCUGUUGAUUGGACAGUUCUAAACGACGUUAGCAUUGUCAAUAUGAUUGCUCAUGCUUCAUUAGAUGAUUAUUCUCAAAAUAAAAUAAACUAAAUUUUGAGCUUUGGAAUACUUAGAUCUUACCCUCUUAUAUGGUUUCUACGUUAAAUUUUUUUUUUUUUUUUGACAAUGUUAACAUUUUAUUUAUUGAAAAUCAAUCAAUCGUUGAAAAUACAAUUGAUUACAAUGUAAAACACAGGUCCUCAUAAAGAACUAUAGAUGACAUCGAUUCUCACCUUUUAACUAAUCUACCAGCCACCAUAUUUGCCUCUCUACAGACGUGUGAAAGAACAUCCAAAGAUUCAUAUAUAUCUAUUAUAUGUGACCACAUCUAUCUCAAAUUCCACGGUACAACUUGUUAUUUCUCCUUAAAAAUUAAAAGACCUUGCAGAAGAUAUUUUAGCUCAUCUUGUUUUGUUGUUGCCCAAUGGAGUAACUGGACACUGUACAUAUAUGGUUGCAACCUUAUAGAAAUAAGGGUACACCUUAAAAGUUAAAUACAAAAGAGUAUUAUGAAGUUCCAAAAUAUUCCAAUUGAUCAUGUUGAUCUCAAGAUGUAUAUAUAAAAUGAGAAAAACAUAAGUUCAAAUCAUAAAAUUAGUACAUCUUGUAAUAGAUUUUUUAAACCUACUUUCAAAAUUUUCAAGCGUUUAUAAACCUGUUCCAUUUGCAUAAUUUUUAAAAUUUUAUUAUAAUUAAGACCAAACAUAGACGUCAAGCCACCGUAAGGUUUCAGACGCCUAAGCUACAUCUUUCUACAAAGUCUAAAGGUGCGUCUUAUGUAAAGAAUAAAUUAACACCUUAGACAAACCUCACCUAUUAUAUUUUGGUGGUUUUGAAUAUAAUAAAUUAUUACUAAAAAUUAUAUACUAUAAGACUAUUUAUCUUUGUUAUAAGGAGCUCACAUGAAUUAGAGGAUUAACACAUUCUAAAAAAAACUUUGGAAAAAGAUCUAAACCGCAUUCCCCUUUUUUGAAGAGAUCGUUUAAAAGGACAGAGUUUCUACCAAGACUAGGCUUUAUGAAAACUAAAUAAAGCGUUACCUUAAAUGCUCAUACGGAAAGUACUUUUAGCAAUAGAAAUCUCCAAACAUAAUGCAUACAAAAUUAAUUUUCAACACAGACAAUAAUAUUUGAAAUUUAAAAAAUGGUACAGAUCUUGCAGAUCUAUAAACCCUUGGUUUUAGGGUGAAAUGGACAGUUUAGAUAAUUUGUUACAACAUAAAUUAUUAUUAGAACUUAAAAUCCUAUUUUUCUUCACAACCAUAACAUUCAAGUCAAGCUGAUCAAUGUAAGGUUUUCUAAUACUUAAAUUAUAAUUGGAAAAUGGUUUGAUAGGGCUGAUGCCCUAUCAAAAUAAAUAAAACCUUACCUCAUGACUCAUCAAAAUUGCAGUUCAAGCAUUAGAAAACCUUUACAUCAACCGUACUGGCUUGAACAUUACGAUUAUAAAAAAAAAAAAGGAUUUCAAACCCUAAAAAUAGUAUAUAUUACAAUAAAAAAAUUAUAAAAAAAAAAAUUCAAGCUCUAAAAAUAAUAUAUAUUAUAAUAAAUUACCUAGCUUUGCACCUUAAAAGUAAGUGUUUUUUGAUUUGUAAGAUUUAUACAAUGUUUUGAGUUUCAAAUUUUAUUAUCGGUACUAAAAAUUAAUUUUAGAUCAAUAAUAGAUAUUCCCAUUGCCGAAAGUACUUUCCGAAUAAAGAUUUGAGGUGGCGCUUUAUUUUGUUUUCAUAAAAUCUGGACCAUCCAUUAUAAUUUUCGAUGAGUUAUGAAACGAGGUUUACUUAUUUGAUAGAUGAUGCGGCCUACCAUUUUCCUUCAAACGAAAAAAGUACUCUCCGAGACCCAUAAAGCAAUUAUUCUCGCUCUACACAUCCCAUCAAAAGCGAAAAUAAGAACAAAAAGAAGGCUCCUAUGCUGUUGUCAAUUUCUUUAUCCCAAAUGAUCGUCAAAUAUGGAGGGCGAUUCCAAUUCCCCGGCGACUGAACCCGAUUUUCCAGUGGCUUCCGGCGAAUUCCCUGUGGAUCUGUACAUCACCAAAAGGCCCAUACAUUUCGGCCCUUCAUAUCUAACUGUCACUGAUUUCAACGGCGAUCCGGUCUUCACCGUUCAUCACAAAUUUCGCAGCAAAACUCGCCUCUUGCUCGAUUCAUCAAAAAACCCCAUACUUUCCAUCCAUGAAAAUGUAAGCCCCCUUCUUCUUUUUCUUCUUUUUUUUUUCUCUAUUUUUUUGUUAUUGGGUUUUUUCAGCAGAUAAUUUUAUUGGGUUUUUUUAGCACAUAAUUUUUGUUAAAUUAAUGGGCGAUUUUUUCAUCAGGGUUUAUUAUGUGAAGCUUUCCGAGUAAUUGACGGCGAGAAGAGAGAUAAGAUUUUCAGUGUCAAAAGAUCGGAAUUUUCUCGAUUUAAAACGGAAUUGGAGGUUUUUAUUGAGCCUGAAAAUAUUUAUGGAAAUUAUAAAAUUGACAAUAUUGGUGAUGACACAAUUUACUAUGAUAAUCAAGGGGAGGAAAUCUGCGAUUUAGUAGUAAAGGGCAGCCCUUAUCGAAGAUCAUGCAGCGUUUACAGGGGAUGCUCGAUAGUUGCUCAGGUAAUUGCCAUUUUAUUCUAUUUUAUGUGUUUUUAUUCUAUUUUUAUGUUUUUUUAUUUCUUUAUAUUUCCUUUAUUCAAAUUUUUUUUUUUUUGGAAACAUGGGUUUUAAAAUUCAAGUUUGAUUGGUUUUAAAAAAUUUCGGCGGAUUUUUUUGGGCCAUUGAAAUUUUAGGGGUGUUUUUUCUUUUAGCCUCAAAUUGGGCACAUAUUCACCUAAUUUUAGCCAAUUCGGUCCUUUUUUUCUUGUUCAUUGUCUUCUCUUUAUUAUUUUCUUUUUUUAUUUAUUGGAGUAAUUAUUUUCUAAAUUUCACGGCCAGUUCAAGCUAUAUUGCGUUUAGAAAAAAUACAAUUAUGGUGUAUCUUUUUAGUGAAAUUUGAAUGUUUUCCUGAUCACACAGUGGUGGUUAAUUUGAAAUUGUGAUUAUUUGAAUUUUAGUAUCUUGAUUACAUUUGAUAUCGUUUUACUUAGGAAAAGCCUUAUAAAUCUAUGGGCGAAGUUGAAUAGUGUUUAGCUCAGUUGCGAUUUUGUCUUAAAAGUCAUAAUGGCUCCACAACCGCGUGGUGGCUUCAUUUUUCUUAUGGUUUCUUGAUUAUAUCUAAUUUUACUCUCUCGUAUCUCCUUAUUAACUGAGAAUCACAUGCACAAAUUAUCUUUGCACAUACUAUUUUUUGCCUAAUUGAGUGAGUUUUUGUCAAAUUUUUGGUGAAAAAAUCUCUUUUGUUAAUUUUGCAUUGUUAUGCUUUUUUCUCUUCUUUUUUUUUUUGUAAAUUCGAUGAGUAUUUCAGUUCUGGUUUUAAUGAAAUUCUAAAUAAUGCUUUAUUAUGUUGAAAUGGGUUUAAACUCUUGAGGUGAAAUGAAUGAUUUAUGAUAUUGGGUUUUGCAGAUGUGUCCCUUGCACAGGCUUCGAAGGAUUGUGGUGGGAAGGUUCAAGUUUCGGCUCACUCUUUUUCCUGGAGUUGAUCAAGCUCUAAUUUUGGCGUUAAUUGUAAUAUUCUUAAAAUAGUAUAAUUUAGGAUAACACAAGCGCACACACACCAUCUAGGGUUUCAGGCGACUGUAGACCGAGGUUUAAAAAUCAGAUCCGAUUUUUCCCGUUCAAACUGGAACAUAUGGUUGACAGGUCCGAGUCCCUCGGAAAUGGGGAUGGGAACAAUUCAUCCAGGGAUAAUGUUUUUAUGUGUUUUAAUGUUAUAAAGAAAAACUUUGCUUUCAUAUUGAUUUGGCAAGCUUCUUUAAAAAAAAUUAAAUAACCGGCACUGUUUUGGGCCUCAUUAAUCAAAAUUAUGUCAUUUGUGAACAACAUGCACCACUGUAUCUCAUUUUAUAGUUAUAUGGUUAAGUCGUCUAUAAUUGAGACAAAGAGGUAUGGGCUCAAUGCUGACCCUUGAUAUAAAUUUAUUGUCACUAAAAACUUACAUAUUUUUCCACUAGUUGUUUGUAUACUAGUCAGCUAUUCAUCGUACAUAUCUCUCACCAAGUUAAUAUAUGGUUUGAAGACUCAUUUCUUUCUCAAUACUCGUCAAAUCAAAUAUCGAGGUACUCUAUCAUAAGCUUUUUCUAGAUCAAUAAAUACCAUGUGGAGGUAUUUUCCCUUCAUCUUAAACUUCUCAAUGAAUUACCUAAGUAAGAAAAUAGUCAUAGUUGUUGUCUUUUCUGGCAUAAAACUAAAUUGGUUUUCAGAUACAUUUGUUUCAUACUUUAGUCGUUGUUCAAUCACUCUCUCUUAAAGCUUCAUAGUAUAACUCAUAAGCUUACUCUUUCGAUAGUUCGUACAUUUUUGUAUGUCUCAUUUGUUCUUGUCAAUAGGUAUCACAAUAUUUUUCCUCUAUUCGUCUGACAUUUUUUCUUUCUCAACACCUUGUUGAGCAGCUUUGUCAGCCACUCAAUGUCAAUCUUCCUCAUGCACUUUUAAACCUCUAUCGGGAUUUCAUAUGGUCCUAAAGCUUUUUCUUUCUUCAUCAUUUUCAAAGUUUAUUUCACUUCUAAAAUCCUAAUGAUACGAAUGUAUUUAUGACAUCCGCCCUCAUUUGUACAAACAGUUUCUUCUAUUUCCAUUGUGUUCGUCACUUAAUAAAUUUUGAAAAUAAACUUUUCACCUUUCGUUGACAUCGUCAUCCUUCACUAAUAACUUUUGACUUUCGCUCUUAAUGAGUAAGUUUUCACGGUAUUUUAUUCAUGAUUUAUCGCUAUCUAAAAUUCGUCAUAAAUCAUAGUUGUCUUAUACUAUUUAAAUUUUAAUAAAAAAUUUUGCAAGUCAUAUUUAUUUGAAAAUUAAGGUUUGUGAAUAUCUAACUAACUCAUACCUAAACAAAUAUUAGAAAAGUUAUCAAAAAAAAUAAAAUGAUUAAAGUACCUUUAAAAAUUAUAAGGGUAAUUUGGUCAUUUUAUUAUUAGAAUUAUAUUUUUAUAUUUUAUUUAGGUGCGCUUUACUAAAGCCCACACACACAAAAUUUUAGGUGAAUCAAAUUUUUUUUCAAAAAAUUGAAAUUCAAAAACUACCUAACAAUCAUGAUCUUUGGAUGGACUUUAGACAAUGAUAGAGCGUAAGUGAAACGUUGUAGAAAUUCAUUUUCCUAUAGAUGCAUGAUACAAAAGCCGCAUAAAUACAUGAUGCAAAAGCUGCAUAAUCUAGCCAAGCAUGCCAUUUAAAAUCCAUGUAUCGUGGACUAUUUAACAUCCUUUGAUUCCUUUCUCUUGUUCUUGUUUUUAUUUUAUCAUUUCAUUGAUUCGGCAAUCCAAAUGAGAAACAAUGGGUGGACAAUUUACCCCAACAAUCUGUUUUUAAAUUACGAUCGUUUUUAAAACACAGCCCAUGAUAUUAAUCUAUCUAAUUAUGAGAAAUAACCAAGGUUUUAAAAAACAGUUUGGUGAACCGUAUUAUAUAUUUGGAAUUAUGAUCCAAUCUACUAUACCAAACAUUAACAAGCUAAAUAAAAAAUAAAAAGUAUAAAAAAAAGUAGGGCCAGUUCAGACCAGUUCUAUGAAUAGAACCGGCCUGUUCUAUCAAAAAACCGGCCAAAAUAGAUUGUCUCUUCGAUUCGGUAGGAACCAGUUCGCCGCUAACAAUUCUCCAUUCCAAUCAUUGUUUAUUUAAACCUAGGAAAUAACAAAAGAAAAAGGACCAAGUUUUAUAUAGAGCCGAGGCUCUAAACAAUCAAAUUAGAGCCCACUUAAAAAAAUCCAAUAGAAGAGGUUGUUUUGAUGCCCAAAUAUCCUCAAAUUGAUCAUCUCGACAUCCAGCUGCAUAGACAUGAGAAAAUAAAAGAUUUCAAGUUUUAGAAAUAGUGCAUCUUGUAACAUAUUUUUUGACCGUCAAUUUUCAAUAUUUUCAAGUUUUUAUACAUCUGCUCGAUCAACCCUACUUUUGAAAGUUUAAAUUUUAUAUUUAAAGAUGAAAAUAUAUUUUAAGACUAUCACAAAAAUUUCUAAUAUUGAAACAACAUUUCUCAACACUAUUUGAGGGUGGGCUCUAGUUUGAUUGCUUAGAGACUCGCUCCAUACCAACUGCACCAAAAAAAAAAAUGCAUCAGAAACCAAAUCCAGCAUUUAUCGGUAUUGCCUUGCUAUUGUUCUCUAAACCAAAGAAUCGCAUUUGUUCACAAGAGUACUACGACUAGAGAAAGACCUUUUGUGUUGCAUGGACUCGCUACAACCUGGUCCUAGGUGGGGCCACCAUUUGCCCUAGCUUGCCCCUUGCCCGCGUAGGGCUGGCCCACCCUUGUGUUAUGAUGGCUUAGUCCACGGGCUACAUUUUGUGGCCCAUGCUCUAGUUUUUUUCGAGCUGAGCGGAUCUUGUUGUGCGCGCAGAAGCUUUAAACCCAAUGAAUUGAUUUUUGACAAAUAAAAUAUGAAAUACAUCUACAAUAACAUAAAUAUUUACGUGGUUCACCCAAUAGAGCUAUAUCCACGGACACGGCAAAUAAAAUCCACUAUAUCAAUAAAAGUUACAUCAAAGAUAUUCUUACCUCUCUUACUCUCAACAAAUCACGUCAACAAAACCAAGUCGAGCAAACAUUUUUAAACCACUCUCCCUUCAUUUUCUUUAGUUCUGGCAGUUAUUAAUGACAACAUUAGAUGGAGAUGCAAGAAUAAUAAGAAAUUGACUUUCUCUCUAAUUAAAAAGGAAACAACUCAAAAUUUCUAUGAGAAUCGUUUCUCUAUAAAAAAAAAGCAUCUCAAUCUUCAUGAAGCACCAUCCCAAUGUUUCUCUACAUAAAAAGCUUUACUCUCUAAGAGGAAAUCUUGCAUCUUAUACAUAGGAGGCAUUGCCCCCUCCCCACCCUCUCUCUCUCUAGAGGAAACCAUUAUUCUCAUAUGGUAACUCAGAACGCAAAUUCUAUGCACUUUCAUCCCAAAUAUAUAAGAUUAUGAGUCCAUAUCAAAUAUAUAAGAUUAAGAGUCCAUACUAAAUGUUCUUUUUUUUUUGUUUUUAUAUUAAUUUUUUUGAUGUAUAAUUUUCUCCCUUUAGAUAGAUAAUUGGUUGUUCUGCCUCUGAAAAUACAUGCACUGUGGCUCGUUAAUUUAUAUUCACGAAAAGCAACCCAACUCUAUGUUAGCCCAUUCUCAAGAUGAUCCAAGCCGCAUCUAAAAAUUCAGGCUCGGGCCUAACCCAGCAAGGGCCUCCAAUCUGAUUCUCCUAUUUUGACUCGAACGAUUCCCUAGUGAAGCCGAGUUACAAUUAUUAAAAAACUUAAAAAAAAUUAAAAAUUGGGAAACUUUGGUGAUUUAUUUGAUUGUCUACUUCCUCGUUCUAAUCUGACUUGGCUAGAUUCAAGUUGAUCGAACUUUGCUGGAUUAAAUUAAGGGAGAUUUUUAGUCACUAAUCCAAGAUACAUGACAAUGUCCCCCUUCAAUAUUCUCUAUUUGAUUCAAAUAUAUUAUUGGGAAAAUAUCAUUAAAGAGCCAAAACACCAUGUGAAAUGAUUUAGGGGGUCAACAGAGCUCAAUUAAUUUUAUAUGAUUAAUUUUGUAAUUUUUAUUUCAUUCAAAUUUCUUCUAAAAAUUGUUAUAAAAAAAUAGAUAAAUUGUCCUCAUUUAGACUUGAGAAGCUGAACAAGGACUCAGGUUUUAGCAAUUUGACCAAUGAUAGACAAGCAAUGGUACUCUUAUCGUUUAAUUGCAGCCUCUUAAGUAUGCUAAAUAUGCCCUUAUCGCUAUAGAAUUCUCAAUCUUGAACAAGGACAAAGCAUUUUGAAGGAUAUUUUUACAAUGAGAUAUUUGAAUGAAAUGAAAAUAAAAAAUAAAACCCUCAAUGCUAAUUGACUAUUUUAACCCGCUCCUUAAAUGAUAUUUUCCAUGUAAAGCCGUCUCUCUUUCUUGGAGAUGGUGCAUGAGAUAAUCGGCAUGUAAGAUACAGCUAUGAAAAGAGAAGCCUAUUAAUUAAAAAUUUACAAAUAUAUGUCAUAAAAUUAAAAUCGAUAAGGAGUAUGGCUAUUUAAGAGGGUAGCAUUUAAAUAUGAAUUGGUAGCAUUUAAAUAUGCCUUUAAAUAUUGCACGGAAUACAAACGUCAUCAAUUGAAACGUUAUAUUGAAAGCAAAGUCAUAAGAAGGCGUGUACUCAAAAAUAAUUUAUUGGGAGUAAGUCAAGUAAAACACAAGAAUUACAUAUGAAGUAAAAAGCUUGAAAUAACUAAAACUAAAAAUAAUAAUAAUAAAAUAAUAAUAAUAAUUUUUUUAUAUAAGGUUGACGGCUUAAAUUGAAGAAUUAAGUUCCACCUCAAAACUCCGUUGGAAAAAGCUAUUUUGAUAUUGAAAAACCACCUAAUUGAUCAUCUUGACAUCGAGAUGUGUAGAUAUGAAAAAAAUAAUUUCAUGUCCUGAAAAUUAUAUAUUAUAUAAUAUAUUAUUUGGACUGUCUAUUUUUAAGACUUUCAUAUGUUGAUAGAUUUGCUUGAUUUGAACUAUUUAGUUUAGAAUUUUAUAAUUAGAGAUGAAAACAUAUUCUUGGGCCAUUCUAAAAUUUUUCAGCACCAAAAUUGCAUCUUAUGACUAAACUUGAAAGUGCACCUUACUUUGAUUGAUUAAGGUUGUAGCCUUAUGCCAAACUUAACCAUAACUAAAAGCCAAAAGUGGUUAUAUGAGGCAUUGAUUUAAAAAAAUCAAAAUAAGGCGCGCCAUUGACCUUUUUGAACGAUUGAGUUGAAAAGCUUUUACGAUAACUUAAAAAUCUAUUUUCAUAUUUGAUUGUAAAUUUUAAAGCUUUAAAAUUUGUGUAGAUCAAGUAGAUACGUAAAUACUUUAAAAUUUUGAAAUAGAUUAUCUAGAUAAUAUGUCAUAAAAUGUAUUAUUUUUAGGACUUAAAAUCAUUUCUCUCAUAUCCAUGCAUUUUGAGGUCGGGACAUGGAUUUCCAUAUCCGAAAUAAAUUUUAUGGAUUAACUUUUAAAUUUUACCUCAAAUUAUAUUAUAAGUUUCAUGCCUUGUGUAAACUUUUUUUUUGGAAGAAAUUAAAAGAAAAAUACCUAAAACUAAAUUAAAAAGGUCAAAGAAAGUAUAUAGUAGUCACUUCCAAAAUUUCAACGAAGUCGUCAAGUUCUUUCUCGAAAUAAGCGUUAAACAUGGGUACUAAAAAUAAAUAAAUAAGUGCAGUUUGUAAAAGGUUACAACCCUAUUUUUAGUGGGAUGGUAAAAAUUUCACAAAACUUUUAAGUUGAUAUCAAAAGAUAACACCUUCAACUAAAGCUUCAACUAAAGCUGAGGUCCUAAACAAUAUAAUUAAGGCGCACCUUCAAAUAAUGUCAAGAUGUUCAUUUCAAUAUCAUAAAUUACUAGAAUAGCUUUAAAAUUUAUUUUUAUUUUGAUGUUUAAAAAAUUUAUUUUUAUCUUUACUUACAAAAUUUAAAAAUAAAAAAGAAAAUAUCUCUUUAUCCUAUAUUUUUAACUUUCAUAUCUCAUAAGACUCAAAAAUUAAAAAUAUUACUUGUAAGCAAAAUGUCUCCAUCUUUUAUAUCUUACAACUCCUGAACGAUAAAUUUUUGACUCAAACAAACACUAAAAUAACACCCUAUUCAAACUCAUCUCUCUCUUUUUUCGCUUCUCGGUGAGUUUACCGGUCAAGAAGUUUAACUUGAGCUUGAACACGAGCACACCUUCUUAUGUGUGAGAGAGAGAUGGAGUUUGGGUUUUAGAGAGAGAUGAAGUUUUAGAGAGAGAUAGAGUUUUGAGAGAGAGACAUGAUGUGAGAGAGAGAUGGAAUUUAGAGAAAGAGAGAUAGAGUCAUUUUAUAAGUUGUUGAGAUCAAUAAUACACGGUCAAAAGGGUUUAGGGGGUUAGAAGAUAAAAAAAAUAGAGUUUUUUUUCUUAUCAGUAAUAUUUUCAAUUCUCGAAUCUGAUGAGAUAUAGAAGUUAAACAUAUGAGAUAUAGAAGUUAAACAUAGGCGAUAAUAAGAUAUUUUUCCUAUUUUUAUAUAAUAGUAAUGGAUAGAGUUUAUGUGAAUUGGCUUGCUUAUCUAUUAAUUUAGCCCUCUCUUCCAAAUCCAUUUUAAAGAUAGAGUUUAGAUUCAACAUUUUAGGAAAUGAAAAUCUCAACUAUAGUGAGUACGAAUAUAAAAUAAAUAAAUUUUAAAAAUAAAAAAUGACAUUUGUAUAAAAUAUUCACACAUUCACACAAUUAGUUUUAAAUUUUAAGGGACCACCAAUUUCUAACAUCCAUGGAUGUUUAAUGCAUAAGAUGAUGUACAAAAAUAUUGCAGAAGUGCGUCCCCUUUCACAUAAAUAACUUUUUUACAUCAAAUUUACACCUUCAAAAUAAAAUAGAUGGUGUGGAUUAUUACAAUCUUACUUCUAUAAAUAAAACUGCACCUCGUGGUAUCUUUGUGUUUUUGUAGUACCCAUUUUUAACAUUUAUACCUUACAAAUAGGUGAAUUUUGAAAAAAAAUAAAUUUAUAUAAAAUUGUAACUUUUUUUUUGUUAUUGAAAUAAGGUUGUCACUUAUUUUAUUUAGAUAAUACAUAUUAAAUAUUAUUUUUAAAAAUAUAUAAUAUUUUAAUAUUAUUUUUAAAAAUAUACCAAAUUUACACCGUCCAAAUAAGAUGAGUAUUUUAAAUAUCGGAACCUCAUUUCCACCGGUUACAACCUUAAAAAAAGGUGAUAGAAAUGGGGGCAAUUGCACUACGCUCUCUCUCCCUCACAUCUGGAUUUUUCCGCGAAACAAAUUCCAAAAAAUAAAAAAAACAAAAUAUUAAAAUAUAAAAAGUCAAAAGAAAGGAGAAAAAUAGAAAAAGACAAGAAAAAGGGGUGGAGAGAGAGAAAAAAGAAAAACGAGAGAAAGUCAUUUUAUGUUGCUGAUGACAAAGCCUGCUAAAAAAGCGCAGAAACCAAUUCUUCUCUUCUUUUUUGUAAGAAAUCCUCAGCUUCUUUACACAGAGAGUGAGACGCUUUUCUAGGGUUUUCUGCUAUACCCAAAAGAUUGAGGCUCUGUAAAUUUUAGCUUAUACAAAAGCCAAUUCAGACUUAAAGAAGAGACACACACAAAAGUUUGAUUUCUCGAUGCCCUAGGGUCUCACUUAUCUGAAACUGUCUUUUACUUCUUCAACAAUGUCAUCUUCUGUUUCUGUUCGUGUGGAGAAAGCCACUAGCGAUCUCUUGAUCGGGCCUGACUGGACCAUGAAUCUUGAGAUAUGUGACUCCAUCAAUUCUGACCAAUGGUUAGAACUGGAGCUUCAGUUUUGGAUGCCCCGAUUUUCAUUUCUCUGAUCAUUUAUAGCUGUUGAUUAACCAGUUGAAUUCUAAUAUCUGUUUUUUUCUGUUGAUUCUUUUGAUGAAAUUUCAUGGAGGUAAUCUGGUUUUAAUAGUAUUUCGAUGAAUUUAUGUAAUUUGAUUGCAAUUUAUUGCAUCGUUUUAGUAUUACAUGCUAGAAAGUAUUUCUGUAUUGUGCGAUUCCAUGGAAUGGCUCUUGCCUUAAGUUUAUUAAUCCUUGUUGUAAGAAAUUCCUCAGCUGACCCUGUGGAAUUCAAGUUAUUGCACAGUUUCAUUGGUGACUGGGUUGUAAGAAAUUCCUUAGUUUCUUAUUCCGUGCUGUGUGUGUGUGCACACGCGCAAGCCUGUCCGUGCAUGCGUGAUAGCUAGUGCUGUGGAGACGUCUGGAUUUCAGUUCUCUUGUUCUAUUCUUAUAUAUCUUGGAAUGCAGCUUUAAGUUAGCUGGGACCUUUACCUUUAUAUGAAACUAGAAAACCAAGUUGGAUAGCUAUCUAGACAGCUCAUACAGCAUAAUGGUUCUUAUACAUACCAUUUCCUAGACCUGUAAUCAAUGAUUUAUUUGACCAUCCAUUCUCACCUUAGGCGGCUCCCCUUAUCAAUCAAUGCAUAUUGGAAAUCAAAUACUUUCAUAUGAUUUUUCUGAAAGAUUGUUAGAAAUAUAAAUUUAUUCUAGAAAUGCGUAUUGUAUUAUACUUUGAGAAUCAUCAUUAACCAGAAGUUCUAGAAUUACCUGACCCAACCAUGGCCCUAGGAAUGGAAGAUAACUGAAAAUAGAGAGAAGCAUUUUGCGUUUACUGUAACAUUGAAUUAUCUGAGCUGAUAUUUCAAUCGACUUGUCUUACGAAGUGGUCUUAACGUAAGCCAUGCCAUGUCAAAUUUGCAUGAUUGCAUUGACAUGAAUGAGUAUUAUCCUUCGAGAAUCAUCAAUAACCAGAAAUUUCUAGUAUUUACCUGACCUAAUCGUAGCCCUAGGAAUGAAGGAUAACUGAAAAUAGAGAGAAGCAUUUAGCAGUUACUGUAAGAUUGAAUUACCUUGGCUGAUAUUUCAAUUGACUUGUCUUAUUAAUCCAUGCCAUGUCAAUUUGCUUAAUUGCAUUGACAUGAAUGAUUCAUAAAAUGGGAAAAAUAUUUUUUGGUGUGAUUGUGUGAUUGCCUGUCCCCUAGUAAGCAUCCCAUUUCAUCCUAGUUUUCUGAGAUUUUUUGGUACUUCGUGUCAUAUUUUUUGAUAGUUUUAUGAGAUUGUACUAGAAAACAUUUUAGGUGGGUCUAAUGUCUUAGUUCUGUUUGAGAUGAUGCAGGCAUGCAAAAGAUGUUGUCAAAGCAGUUAAGAAGCGUCUUCAAAAUAAAAAUCCAAAAGUUCAACUGCUUGCCUUAACGGUAUGUUAUGGCUUCAAAGCUUGGUAUGCUUUUUCUAUAAGAUAUCUCUUUUUCCUUUGUUAUGUGCAUGUAAAAGAUUAACUAAUGAAAAAAAAUUAAAUAUCACUUAUUUCUAUUCAAAGCUAAGAAUCUAGGUUCCUCACUAGAGAUUUUGACAAUGCUUCUAGUUAAGAGCAUGUAAAACCCAACGGAAAAUAUCAAUACAAUGGUCAAACCACCUCAAAAAAUCGACGGGAUGGUGAAAUCAAUUAAUUUACUAACAAAAAGGUUACUUUUAAAAAUUAUUUUACAUAGGUACCUCAACUAUUUUGUCAGAAAAUCCCCAACCUGCCCUUGGUCCGUCUAGGUUUGGAACCCUGAACAAGCGAGGGUCAUUUUGGUAAAUCGAAAACUUAAGUACUAGAGCCAAAUGACCUAAAUACCCCUGCUUGUUUCAAGUUGCAAACCUAGAACAUGGUUUUUCAUUAAAAAAAUUUGUUCUCGGUUUGCAAGCAGGAACACAUGGUAUUUUGUGUCAUUAGGUUCAAAUGACUUUAAGUGGAGCUAAAUUACCAAAAUGUCUCAAACUUGAAACAAUUUCUUUUUUAAAAAUAAAAUAAAAAGGCAUGUUUCUGGUUUGAAACCUAGGCCAAGCAUUGGUAUUUAGGUCAUUUGGCUCAAGUGAGUUAAGUGGGUCAAUUACCAAAUGCCUUCAUUUGUUCAGGAUUAAAAACCUAUAACAAGGGUAGUUUUAGUUUUUUAAAGAAACUCUUGAGGUACCUAAAUGACAGUAUUUUAGAAGUGACCACUUUGAUGGUAAAUAUGUGGAUUUAACCACCUCGUUAAUUUUCUGGGGUAUUUUGACUUCCCAGAAAAAAAUAAUGCAACGUGAUAUCUGCUCAAAAUCUCAAUUAAAUAAUGAAACUAUAGUUUGUCAUUGCGGUGUUUAUCCCAUGUUCAUAAUAAUAAAUGAAAAAGUAAUAGCUGUAAUAUCUGCACAAAUAAAUAAUUAUUGGCAAUAUAACUAGUUUAAACGAACUUGGCCAUGUUAAAAGAUCAAACUCCCCCAUUAUUGCUGGAGACGUAUGGAAUAUGAGGCCAAAUCAUUGCCUUAUGCCCGACAAUAUAAAAAAUACUCUGUAGAAGAACAUAAUAUUUUCUUUUGAGGUUGAAUUAUUCUUUUUGCAGUGAUUAAUGGGAAUGUCUUUUAGAUCAGUUACUUGGUAUUGGUCGUGAUGAUGUUACUUUCUCUUGCAGCUUCUGGAGACAUUGAUAAAAAAUUGUGGUCAAUUUGUGCAUCUUCAAGUUGUUGAGAGAAAUAUUCUGCAAGAAAUGGUGAAAAUUGUGAAGAAAAAGGUCUAUUUGCGCAUAUGUGUUUCAAUUUCUCUAUAACUUUUUGAAUUUCUCUCUAACUCAUGCGUGAAGUUAGGGUAUUGCUCAACCUUAUUUGACUUGUUUUGUUAUUGUGUGCAUAUGUGGUUUUUGUUGUAUGCUUUAGGAGAAGUGUAAUGCUUAGUAACUUCUAUUUGGAACUUGUAAUGUUAAUGUUGAAUUUGUCUUACAUUCAGGAAAAUCAUUAGUCAUGGUCAUGUCGAAUGAACUGGGAGUUGUAGAACUUAAUAUAUAUUUCUCUAGGUGCAUUAUGUGUCCACUUAAUGAGUGUACGCUUGGAAGUUGGAUGGGAUGUUAAUUAUUUGUGGAUGUCUAAGGAUUUUAUCUUAUAAUCGUAUGCAAGCAUAUUGAUACUAUCAUUAUCAAUAAGAGAAUUUGUAUAAAACAGUUCUUAUUUUUUUCCUCCCUACCCCCCCCAAAAAAAAAAAAUGGCCACCCCAAAAACUUGUAUAAAAGAGCACUUACAAGCUUAGAAAUAAAAUGAGGAAUAACUGAACUCAGGUUUAGCAUGUCCAAGACUCAGCUGAUAGGUGUUUUUGGACGUUACAGUGAACUGGAAAGGUUGGCAAGAGGUAUUUGGUGUGGAACAGACAAGUUUCCAACAAAAUAUCUUGGCUUGCAGCUAUGUUUGGGCAAACUAUAAAAUUGUUUAUGGGAAGGGUCUUGGAGAAUAGGGAAUUAGCAUUAGGGAGGGCCAGAUUAUUGUCCACGGGAGGAAGAAUGACCACAAUAAAGUCCACUCUAGCUAACCUGCUAGUCUUCAUUAUUUCUUUAUUCUUGAUUCCACCAGUAGCAUAUGCAAUUGAGAAGUUGAUGAGAAGCUACCUUUGGGCAGGGUCAUUGGGAAAGCCUAAAUUCCACUUAGUUAGUUGGAACAAGUUCGUAGACCGAAAUGGCAAGGUAGAUAGGGUAUUCACAAGGUCAAUGAUAUCAAUAGGGUCCCAUUAACAAAAUGGUGGUAGAGAUUUGGGCAGCUGGUGGAUCAUCUAUGUAGGCAUGUAAAAUGCAAAUAUGGAUGUGAGCAGUUUUUUGGCUCGUGAAAGAACAUCGGACCAAAGGAGGCUCUUGAGCUGUCGGUCAAGUUAUAUUGGUAAAAUCGGAAUGUACGAAAUGGAAGCCUGGCAAGGUUUUGGAUGGACGCUGUUUUGGACCCUCUUCACCUUGAGCACAGUUUCCUGAACUGUUUCCUUUGACAACAAGCCAGGAAGUUACAGUUAAAGUAGUAGGGGAGGACAGCAAGCUAACUGGUCACCAGGUCUAACGAGUGCAUUACAAGAGGAGGAGAUUUGGAUAUUUGCAAAUAUGUUUGAAUCUCUACAUUAGAUAUGCUUUGGACCAAGUGGGAGGAAGAACUGAUCUGGGCUUAUAGUUUGCAGUCGGAUACUUGUUAACUGCUGUUAUAAGGACUUGGGGUAUUCCUGUCCCUCACAUGAGGCAAGGAUUUAUAUGGCUAUCUGCGUUGGACAAGGUGCUGACUAUCAAGGGGAUGUGGGAACAGUUGGUCUUCUCUUCAAAAAAAAAAAAAAAACAGUUGGUCUUCGGUCUUCUCUUCCUGCGUUGUCCCUUUGUAAUAUAAAUCAUGGAUGUACGCUCUGGAUCUAUCUAUGGGUACAUCCAGCCCCUGUAGAUGCUAUACUGAUACCCCUCUGCUACCGAAAAAUCCCUCUGCAGCUAAAAAAGAGCAUUAUCUUGUGGACUGACAAAAAUAGCACUGCCAUGGCUACUGUGGUUGUAAAUGAACAACAUAUUCUUCAAUGAGAGAAGUUGUUGGGCUCUUAAGAGUUCUAGAAAAUUUUUAGAGUCAUAGUUUGGGCCAGAGCUAGAAAAGAGUUCUGGGGAUAUUCUGUUUAAAAGUUUGAGACUCAGUGGAAAGAAAUUGUAAAUGAUAGGAGACAGAUUGAUGUGACCACGUAAGUAGGAUCCUUCUCCCAUGGGGUUUGUCCAAUUGAACCUUGACGGAAGUCCAAAAGAUUACCCUGGACCUGCAAGGGUGGGUGGAAAUUUUCCGGGAUCACCACAGUGAACUUUUGGUGAUAUACUCCGGAUCAGCACAUAAUUGUCAUGCAGAUGAGGCUCUGCUAUGUUCCCUGUUACAAGGAUUAAUAAACUUCGCCGAAGAUGGCCGAAGGAUAUUAUAGAAGGGGACUUAAGUAAUGUCAUAGGUAGCUACCAGGCAGGGAACUUGCUCAUGGAAUCAUUGAAAUGUGUUUGAUAAAGUUGAGUAGCUUAUUGAGAGGAUAGAGGUAUCCUAUAAACACAAUGGAGAGAUCCAAUAUUGAAGUGGACACAUUUGUGAGAGAAGGGAUAUCUAAAUGGUAUGUUAUACUGAAUCAUUUUGUGAUUUAAAGUUUUGUGAAUAGAGCCUAAUGUACGCAAACUCUUUUAGUUAAGGGUUGUACACUUGUAGGGAACGUAUUCUCUGGAUAUGCAGUUGCCACAUCAUGCUUACCCUUGGACAUGUAAACAAGAAGUGCUGGCUUUAAAUGAGGUGCUGGCUACAACAAACUCUGGAUUUGGGACAGAACCAACAUCCAUCACCUUAAAUUUCUCCACAAUAGUUAGGCUUAAUAAAUUUAGAUUUUGUAUUCUCGUUAGAAUUUUUGUUGAUUGUAUUCACCGAGAUCUAUUUCUUUUCCCAGCUUAAAACAAUAAUUGGAUGUAUAUUUCAUCAACUUUAGUAUUUUUUUCUUUUGAAGAAAUAUUUCAUCAACAUUGUAAAUUAACAGCAAAUGGAAAGGGAUAUAGGAGGCCUAUGGCAUACAAGACAGAGCUGCCACUGCUGUCUUAGCAGUUGCUAACUUAAGCACAAAUAUAUAAGGGUGAAGGAGAAUACCCUGAUGAUCCUUGAAUAUAGUCAGUAUUCAUUCUCCUUAAUGGAAAUUAUUUGGUGAGGACAUGUGCAAAAUCUAAAGAUGACCCCUCUCUUUUUGCUCCUGUAAAUGUGUUGGCAGACAUGUGGAUAUUCAGUUUUCCUUCUUAUUUCUAUUGUCUUUGUAUGGUAUAUUGUGCCACCCUUAUUGAGUUAUUUUUCUUAUCUUCACUUUCUUCAUUUGCUUCUUUCCACUAUGCGUAUUCCUGUGUUCCAUUAAUUUAAGGAAUGUCAUAUGAUAAAAUGACCUUGCCCUGGUUUCAGACAGAUAUGGAGGUGAGAGAUAAGAUUUUGGUGCUAUUAGAUUCGUGGCAAGAAGCAUUUGGGGGUCCAGGAGGAAAGUAUCCCCAAUAUUUUUUGGCUUAUGAUGAAUUACGGGUGAGUCUAAUGAACUUUCUGGCGGUGGAACCUUCAUAACAAAAUGUGGUAGUCCUGCUUGUACAUAAAGACAUUGUUGGACUAGAGGUGGUUGUGAAUCUGAGCUCAUUUCAUAGCUUCUCUGUUCUGUAGCCUUCAACUGAAAAUUUGUAAUUUUCAUUGAAGUUGCAGGCUUUAUUUCUAAGUUUGUUAUUUACUCUUUCUUGAAGUAAGAAUUGCUAUCAGUAUCUGUCAUCUUAUAUAAAUCUAACUAUACCAUCCUGGAUAGUCAUGAUUAUCAGAUUAUUGUAAAGGAACAUGUGCUAUUCUUCUCUUUCAGAUAACGAGUUCACAAUGUCAACAUGUUCAUGUACUUUGAUGUCUUUGCAAUGCCAUGUCUAUUAAUAUGUAGAGGCAUCAUACAAACUCUUGUGCAUCUAGGUGAAUGCUCUUGGAUUUGUAUGCAAGUGCAUGGUUCUGAUCUGACUUUAAGGGAUGACGGAAUUUUGUUACAAUUCAAACAACAAAAAUAUGGCAAAAUACCAUUCGUAGACAUACCAAAAGUUUAUCCAUCUCAUGUAAGUUUGAGGAAUUAGUUGCCUAUAUAAAUCACAAACUGUUGUUGUGUAGAAAAUGCAUCCCUUUAAGCCUAUCUAUAUGUAAUGAUUGCAGAGAUCUGGGGUAGAGUUCCCUCAACGUUCAGGAAAUACAGUUCCAGUCUUCACUCCUCCAGUUACACAUCCUAUAGCUAGACAUCCUCAAACAGGUUAUGGAAUGCCUCCUGAUGCUUCUAGGAGGCUGGAUGAGGCAAUGGCAUCUGAAAUGCAAGGUUUGAGGUAACACUUGGUUAUAUUUGUGAUUGUAAUUCUACUCCACUGUUCAAUUUCAUUUUCAACUUGCUUGAUAUGUACUAUGACAUGUCAUGCCUCUUUCCUCCCUCCACUCUAUAUGAUAUGGAUUUAUUUUAUCCAGUCUUAUGUUUCAGUUUAUCAAAUAUGGAUGCUAUCCGGAGUGUAAUGGAACUUUUGGCUGACAUGCUGCAAGCUGUGAAUCCAAAUGAUCGUAAUGUAAGUAGGCCAAUCCAGCAGAAAGGAUGAAAUCUAUUUUAUGCCUUUGGGCAUUGUGAAUUCUAAGGGGUUUACUUGUUUUGUCAUAAUCUUAUAAUAUUGUUCAAGAAGUAUAAUUGUUCAAAACAUUGUACAAAUAGCGGGUCUCAAUACAACUGUAUAGUAUAUUCAAGUUUUCCAGUAUCCAGCUGUGAAUCAUGUCUGGCAUCCAUUUGUCUGAUUAGUUGCAACCUCAUUCACGUGAGGAUUUGCACUAUGGGGUUCCAUUUGCGAGGCUUUUGAUGCUAAGCAAUAGAGAUACUUUCACGUGUGAAAUGAGUAAAUAUAUGAGAACUUGUGAAUGUGUACGAGUGCAGCUUGAGCUUUGUUGACAUGGCUUAACUGAGUGCUUUGCAACUUGUCUCUCUCAUAGUUAUUCUGAUGACUGCGGAAUGACAGUAGAUUACCAUAUGCUUUUUCAUACUGGUGGUUCCGUUUUCAUCUGGAUUCUAUACUAUUCCAACUCAUUAAGCAAAUAUCUCAUUAUAGUCGGAAAUUCCAGGGAGAGGUGACUAAUCUUUUCUUGGUUAGAUCUGUGAUAAUUGGUUUUUAAGUCUUUUAUCUCCAAGCGAAUGGGGCAGCGGGUAUGUGCAUUCUCUGUGAUCCUAACAGAUAUCUUGAUGGGUAUUUUCUUAGGCAUGGGGCUGGUAUAUGGUUUUCCUAGUGUGCCUCCAACUGAAGUUGUUACAUGAGAUGCAUGAGAUAUGCCCUUGUUUGUAUCUUUAUUGGACUUGUCAUCCUUGCACCAUUUUGUUAUUCAUAAUCUCUUUGUAGUGUCAUUCAACCUUGUCGCUUAUCACGGUGCUUUCAUUUAGGCUGUUAAAGAUGAAGUGAUUGUAGAUCUUGUUAGCCAAUGUCGCUCCAACAAAGGAAGGCUGAUGCAAUUGCUAAAUUCAACUUUGUAAGUUCUAAACAUGGUGGAUUCCAUUAACUUCACAUUUCAUAAAAAUAAUGCAAACCAUCAUUUUGGUGAUUAAUCAUUUUUAAACUUGUUUGGUCUUUUGAGUUUAAGAUUCUGGAUUGGUUUUCAAAGUCGUGAAUUCUUUUGCUGAUGGUUCAAGCUACAUUACAAUUAUGCUGUGGUUACUUGCUUUGACUACUCACUCUUUGUAAGGAAUGCAGGGAUGAGGAGCUUCUUGGACGGGGCCUUGCAUUGAAUGAUAACCUACAAAGUCUACUUGCCAAGCAUGAUGCCAUUGCAUCUGGUUCUCCCCUACCAUCAGAGCCUGUUGCUUCAAGUUCCACAAGAAUUUCUACUCCUGCACCCCUUGCAACUGCUCGUGGUGAAAAGGAUGAUGAAGAUGAAGAUGAUGAGGAUGAUGACUUUGCUCAACUUGCUCGCAGGUUAUACCUUAUGCUUUCUAUGACUCCCACAUGACGUCUGGUUUUCCAUUAUUAAUUGGGGAACCUAUUGAAUUGGGAAGUAGUUCGGCCAUAGGGCGCCAUUGCCGUCACAUCACUGAUUUCAAGUUUGAUGAUUGGAGAGUGGGUCCCUCCAUCAAACGUGCAAUUGGUUUGAACUGUACCAGGGCUGUCACACCUUCACCAUCCAACCUAUCAAUGGGAUGGUGAUCACCUAUAUUUCUACUCCUUUCUUUGAAGAUAAUCAGACUCACCAAAUUUAAAAACUGGGUUAGACUUAUAAAGAUUCAUAGGACUUUUCAGAAGACUUGGGCCAACACCAUGUCUUACUGGAGUUGCAGAAAAAAUAAUAGAAAUGUUCCAUGAAACUUCCUUGGAUUAUAUUCUCCGAGUUGUCACAGAACUUAGUCAACUUGGCUAGGACAAGGCUAAGUCCCACCAAUUGAGUUCAACUUUGCCUUCAAUUUUAAAUUAUGCGAGGUGUGAGGACAUUGGAUUUACUUAAUAACUCCAAGGCUGAGUUUUUUAUGGCCUUGCUUUUCUCAUCUAUGUUGUUGCUAUUCCCAGCCAAAAUGAGUGGGAGUAGCAAAGCACCAGAUUGCCAGUAUUUUUUUAGGGUGGAAGUAGCAAAAGCAAAUAUUCAUGUGAAGUUGCUUUUCUCUUCACUACUUAAGUAUGAAUUUAGGGUGGAAGUAGCAAAAGCAAAUAUUCAUGUGAAGUUGCUUUUCUCUUCACUACUUAAGUAUGAAUUUUUUCAUGUGAGUACAUCUUUAUUCAUUAAAAACAACUUGCAUAUGUCCAGGCCUUCAAAAGCCUGGCCAGUACCUUCUCAUGGCUUAUCUGGUGAAACCAGUAACAAGUUUGAUUCAGCCCAGUUGAAUGACCCAUCAGUGACAACCUCAAAUACAACCAAUGCUGCAGCUACAUCUACAUCUACAACUACCAACACAAACUCCAUAUUUAGCGGUCCAUUAGCUUUACCGGAGCCCCCACAACCAGUAAGAACGACCACAAAAGCGCUGGACAUGAUCGACCUCUUGAGCAACACUCUAGCCACCAGUUCUUCACCUCACACCCCUCUCACUCCUCACAUCCCUCUCACUCCACCGCAUGUCGGUCCCACUUCACCUUCUUUCACUACAAACCAACCUCACACCCCUAUGGGCCCUAUGUCACCUUCUCUCACCACAAAGCAACGUCAUACCCAUGCAGGCCCUAUGUCACGUUCUCUCUCUACAAACCAACCUCAAACCCCUCGCACCCCCACAGGCCCUACAUCACCUUCUCUCACCACAAACCAACCUCACACCCCUUUCUCUCCUCCUACCCCGUCAGGACCUGCAUCAUCGUCUUCCACCUCACACCGACCUCCAUACACUAACCAUGCAGACCCAUCUUCUCACCAAUCCUCCAUCACCCCAAAUGCUCAAGGUUACCCCUACAAUCCUACUCCAUACCUCAAUCAUCAAGGGCAAGUUCAAGUCCCAUACAACACUUACGUUGCACCUUGGGCUCAACAACCUAGAUUCACCCAGUCUCCAAUACAGAACCCAUCUAGUGUUUAUCCUCCUCCACCUUGGGCUACUGCAAAUUUGGGUUCUGGGGCUCCUAUACAACAAAACCCUUAUCAAUUCCCGGUCUCUCAAUCGAAUCCCACUACUACUUACUCCCCUCAAAAGGCAUCGCCAACUUCUCUUCAGCAGAAUUACUCUUUUGGAUCGAGGGUCAACAAUGCAACCCCAUCUUUGGGGGGUGAAGCAAGCAAUGUACAAAGGCAAGCACCUCAGAGAUCGUUCAUUUCGGCUGAUCACUAUUUUGAGGGCCUCAUUGACUUGAAAGGCGCAAAGGGAAGUAGCACCUCACCAAAAAUGAACAGGGAAGGUACAUUAGGUGGAAGAAAGUGAACUUUUGUAUUAAUUGUGUUGCAUAUUUGAGGGAAUUUGGAAUUCAUUUGAUGGUAUGUAUAUGUGAUGGUUGCCAUUGCAAGUAUGUUGUUUGUUGCAUUAAUGUUUCUAUACUAUGUGUCUGUGUUUUUAGUUUUUGUUCUUGCUGCAAAUUAUUUUCCUUCUUUAUACGCUCAACACACGAACCUUGACAAGAUAAUGAACACUGCCAGAAGCUACCUAGGUUCACAAAGUGUGCUAGUAUUGAGCAAAUUCUGGUAUGUAAUUAGAACUUAUGCUGAUUUCUGUCCUAUGUAACAAAGGCAUUUGUGCAGCCUAUGGUAAUUGAUAUACGUAUCGUUUUAAUUAGAAUUAGCACCAGAAUUGAUUAUGGCCUUUAAAUCGAUUUGUGAGAUAGAAAUGUGGUGAUCUUUAGGAGAUGGUAAGUUGCUUUACUUUGGGAAGAACUUGGAUUUGGGUCAGUAGUUACAUGAUUUACAUUUUGAAUCCCAAAUCUUAAUCAGAAGGUAAGCUUUCAGACACUGAUGAUGNNNNNNNNNNNNNNNNNNNNNNNNNNNNNNNNNNNNNNNNNNNNNNNNNNNNNNNNNNNNNNNNNNNNNNNNNNNNNNNNNNNNNNNNNNNNNNNNNNNNNNNNNNNNNNNNNNNNNNNNNNNNNNNNNNNNNNNNNNNNNNNNNNNNNNNNNNNNNNNNNNNNNNNNNNNNNNNNNNNNNNNNNNNNNNNNNNNNNNNNNNNNNNNNNNNNNNNNNNNNNNNNNNNNNNNNNNNNNNNNNNNNNNNNNNNNNNNNNNNNNNNNNNNNNNNNNNNNNNNNNNNNNNNNNNNNNNNNNNNNNNNNNNNNNNNNNNNNNNNNNNNNNNNNNNNNNNNNNNNNNNNNNNNNNNNNNNNNNNNNNNNNNNNNNNNNNNNNNNNNNNNNNNNNNNNNNNNNNNNNNNNNNNNNNNNNNNNNNNNNNNNNNNNNNNNNNNNNNNNNNNNNNNNNNNNNNNNNNNNNNNNNNNNNNNNNNNNNNNNNNNNNNNNNNNNNNNNNNNNNNNNNNNNNNNNNNNNNNNNNNNNNNNNNNNNNNNNNNNNNNNNNNNNNNNNNNNNNNNNNNNNNNNNNNNNNNNNNNNNNNNNNNNNNNNNNNNNNNNNNNNNNNNNNNNNNNNNNNNNNNNNNNNNNNNNNNNNNNNNNNNNNNNNNNNNNNNNNNNNNNNNNNNNNNNNNNNNNNNNNNNNNNNNNNNNNNNNNNNNNNNNNNNNNNNNNNNNNNNNNNNNNNNNNNNNNNNNNNNNNNNNNNNNNNNNNNNNNNNNNNNNNNNNNNNNNNNNNNNNNNNNNNNNNNNNNNNNNNNNNNNNNNNNNNNNNNNNNNNNNNNNNNNNNNNNNNNNNNNNNNNNNNNNNNNNNNNNNNNNNNNNNNNNNNNNNNNNNNNNNNNNNNNNNNNNNNNNNNNNNNNNNNNNNNNNNNNNNNNNNNNNNNNNNNNNNNNNNNNNNNNNNNNNNNNNNNNNNNNNNNNNNNNNNNNNNNNNNNNNNNNNNNNNNNNNNNNNNNNNNNNNNNNNNNNNNNNNNNNNNNNNNNNNNNNNNNNNNNNNNNNNNNNNNNNNNNNNNNNNNNNNNNNNNNNNNNNNNNNNNNNNNNNNNNNNNNNNNNNNNNNNNNNNNNNNNNNNNNNNNNNNNNNNNNNNNNNNNNNNNNNNNNNNNNNNNNNNNNNNNNNNNNNNNNNNNNNNNNNNNNNNNNNNNNNNNNNNNNNNNNNNNNNNNNNNNNNNNNNNNNNNNNNNNNNNNNNNNNNNNNNNNNNNNNNNNNNNNNNNNNNNNNNNNNNNNNNNNNNNNNNNNNNNNNNNNNNNNNNNNNNNNNNNNNNNNNNNNNNNNNNNNNNNNNNNNNNNNNNNNNNNNNNNNNNNNNNNNNNNNNNNNNNNNNNNNNNNNNNNNNNNNNNNNNNNNNNNNNNNNNNNNNNNNNNNNNNNNNNNNNNNNNNNNNNNNNNNNNNNNNNNNNNNNNNNNNNNNNNNNNNNNNNNNNNNNNNNNNNNNNNNNNNNNNNNNNNNNNNNNNNNNNNNNNNNNNNNNNNNNNNNNNNNNNNNNNNNNNNNNNNNNNNNNNNNNNNNNNNNNNNNNNNNNNNNNNNNNNNNNNNNNNNNNNNNNNNNNNNNNNNNNNNNNNNNNNNNNNNNNNNNNNNNNNNNNNNNNNNNNNNNNNNNNNNNNNNNNNNNNNNNNNNNNNNNNNGGCUAAAAGAUUGUCCUAACUGGUAAUCCUUGUAGAGUUGCGGGUAUUCUGGUAUAGAAAAACCAUCUUCCAUUUAUAACAUAGAAUUUAUUUUACAAUGGGUGGUUCGGAUACCAAUUUGUAUUCCGAGUCUCUUGGAGCUUGACAGGUCUGAACCAUUUACUCUGGUGGUUUGUAACCUGUGCUUUUUACUCUGGUGAUUUGUAACAUGUGCUUGGUGUCUGAUCAAGUUGAUUGUGAAUGGAAUACAUUGUUUCUGGUCUGUUGCUGUACAUUUUAGGAACUCAUUUCUUUGUUGAUCUCAGCUUCUCUCCAAUUCUCAUAGUUUUGUGUUGCUCUGUGCUUUCCUUGGAGUGAUGAAAAUGGUCAUGGAACCAUUUGUUAGAGUGGUGCGAUGAAUCUCAGCUACAACAACACAUCUUUAUAUCUUUUUCUUGAGUCUUUAGGCCAUCUGCAUGUUGACUCUUCCUAAACAUAAAAGAGUUCGACUGGUUGACAAUCUCUCUCCCUCUCUCUCUCUCCUUCCCCAAUGGCAGCGUGAACAACCAGUUUAUCUUUUAAUGAACUUCUAGAAAAGGUCGAAGGUAUAAAUCACUGCACCAGAAAUACAAUAAAAAGAUUCAUAUACAAAAUCGAUGAAUCGAAGGAUUGGAAGAUUAUUCCCGUACAAAAGAGAGCCUCUCUGCCCAGCUAAUCUCAUCUUGUUCGCACGGUCCAAGUUUUCAUUUUCUGUUACCUCCUAGAAAUAGGUGAUCAAUCAACUGGCAGAUCUCUCCAUAACACGGGUGCGAUUGAUCCCCAGCUUUAAAAGUAUGAACCAUUCCAUUGAUGUCAAUCCAACUGCGCCCUCUCUUUCCUUACCCCUCUCUCUAACAUCAUUCUUCUUACCUUCAACACACCUGACCAGUUCCCAAUAGAAGCAUAACUGUUCGAUACCAAAACGUAUAUUCCUCCAUCAUGUGGCUCCAGCCGAAGAAGCUUCUCACCAACAGCCAUUGUCAUCUUCACAUCUUUAUGAAAACCAACAAGCACUGAGCAAUGAUGCCCAAAGUUCCGCAUCCGGCUCAACUGGCAUGCUCUCUACAAACUCAUAUGCUUCUUUCAAGAGCCGCGAUCAAGAAGAUCAACCAUGCAUGUGUAGUGCUCAAUACUGGGUGUUACUUUCUACUUGUAAAUCAUAGAAUUGAACAUUCUCCACCCUUCUCUCACCAGACCUGAGUGGCUACAAGCAGAAAGGAUUCCCACAAAAGUUAUGGUAUUUGGGGUGAUGCCUCUGGAUACUAUACACUCAAAAACCUUCAAUGCUUCAAUUCCGAGACCAUGUUUUCCAUAGCCAGUUAUUAGAGUUGUCCAAGAGAUGAUGUUUUUGCAGGGCAAGUUGUCAAAGCAUUGACGGGCAUCUUCCAUUGACCCUCCACACUUUGCAUACAUAUCCAUGAGACAGUUCCCAACAGGUAGGUAAGGUUCAAAUCCUUGCUUUAUCACAUGGCUAUGCACGCAUUUUCCUUGCAAUGUGAUUUAUAGAUAGAUACAUGCCGAGAUCGCACUGACCAUACUGUGAUGAAAUCUGGGUUCACACCUUCGAGCUUCAUGUGCUUGAAUGCUAAUAAGGCCAUGUCACUCUGGGCCCACUUAUCACAGCAAUCCAUGAAUCAGUGUCUCUAUUUGUGAUUUGCUUGAACAAUAGGCAUGCUUCAGAGGCCAUCUUGUGCCUAAAAUAGCAAGAUAGCAUCGCACUCGUCAAUGUUGGAUCUUUAUCAGGCAUUUCCUCGAACACUUGUAUGGAAUUUGAAAGGAGACCGCAUUUUGAGUACGUAUCCAUGAGAGAUGUCAUUAGGACAACGUUGACGCAUAAUCUGCUUGGUUUAGUUCUCUGGUUGUGCCCAAGGCCUGGAGGAGCGAAGAGAAGGUAGCUGAGUCGUUUUUGUGUUAUGGGGUGGUGGAUGGUAGUGAUCAAUCUUUUCAUGCCAUUGUGAAGGAUCAUUGGUUGAGAUUGCCCUUUAUAGACAUUCAUUUCUGUAUCCUUCCAAUCUCCACUGUCCCUCCAAUUGAGAGCAGACAAACAUGUAUGUUGUGUAUAAUACAGACUAUAGUCAUCCACAAUCCGUUCUUGAUAAUGGAUGGUGGAGAUUGAGCGCUUUCAAACUCGAUUCCCGAUCACACAAACAGUGACUGAUCUCAACCGUUGCAUAGGCGGUGGCCGGUGACGGGACGUUUUUUGGGCGAUGUACUAUUACCAUACACAUGAUGUCUCUUGUUUAGGGGUCUAAAAAGUCAGUGGUCAUGGUGUGUGGCUCUUUAUAUUUUGAAGUACCAUUUCAAGAUAAAAUUUAAAGGGCACGUUUGAAUGGACCAACAUUUUAAAUCAGGAGUUAAAGUCAAAACACAUUUAUUUUAUUGCAUUUUUUUGACAAAUGGGGUCAAAUGUCUUGCUUAAGUAUUCCGUGACUAGCGUUGCUUAAAAUUUUAGAAAACAGAACGGAGAAAUUUAUCAAAUUGUCUAGGAGAGAGAAACAAUUUAACUUUUCACCUGUAUCUCUCUCUCUACCAGCCCAAAUGUAGAUUUGGGCUGGGCUCGGGCCGUGCUUUACUAAGAAAAUUUCAAAAAACUUUCGGGCUGGCCUGUUGGCGGCCUUAGUGACAACAAAGUCGGCAUUGUUGUUGGAUUUAUUGCAAGUUUCAACAAAAAAUUAUUGAAGGUUUACUCUAAUCGCACUAGUGAAGUCUAUAAAAUUAUUGUUUAUUGGUUUUAAUAUAACUAUGCACUAAGGCAAUUCAUAAUCCAAAUCCGAAAUGUUUACAUUUCUAUAACUGACCUUUUCUUUUUAGCGUUUUGUAUUUUUUACCGAUUUUUUCCUUCCGACUUUUUAAAUUAAAGCCGAUUUAUUAUCAACAUUUUAGUCUGCCUAUAUUUUUAUUAUUCCCCAACUUCCUAACUAUGUAUAGGACACAGACGGCGCAUCAUUUUAACAUUACUUUGACCUUAACUUAAAUAAAAAAAAACUUAAGACGUGGGUGUUCAAAGAUAUUUUUUCCUGUAACUUUUUGCGGCGUUUAUCUUACCAUCGUUUGCACCACUUUUCUUGUUAAAAGAUCAAUAAAUCGGAUAACGUCUCUACAUAAAUUUGAAAUAUUAUUUUGGAAAAUUAUCGUAAAUAUAUCUUAAUUUAAGCUUAAUAAAAAAAAAAAAACUUCAAAUUUUUGUUUAUCUCGUCUGCACCUUUUUUCUUUAUUUUUGAUUUUUUUUUGUUUUUAUUUUUAUUUUUUAUCAAAAUGACCUUCACGGUAGUCGUAUUAUCAUAAUAGUUAGUGCAUGUUAUACAGUACUUUAAGUACCCUAAUGCUUAGGGAAUUUUAUAAUACUGAGGGUAUUUUAUACGGUACUUUAAGUACCGUAUACUUACACUAACCCUUAUACAGUAUUUUAAGUACCGUAAACACUAACACAUGUUAUACUGCACUUAAAAUGCCGUAAACCUUUUUUUCAAUUUAUCUCUUCAUCUCUAAUUUUAUUUAUGUUUAUCUAUUCUUUAUCUCUCUAAUUCUUUUUAAUAUGAAAAAAGUUUAUAUAAGGAUGCAGCCUUAUAAUGUAGAACUACGGAUGCACCUCAAAAAUCCAUCGAAAAAGGUAGUUUUAAUGUUAAAAAACCCUUUGAUUGAUCAUCUCGACACCGAGAUGUAUAACUAUGAAAAAUAAAAAGAUUUUAAGUAUCAGAAAUAGUGCAUUUUACAACAUAUUAUCUACACCGUCCAUUUUCAAGAUUUUCAUAUGUUUAUAGAUCUACUUGAUUUAACCAUUUUUUAAAUUUAAAAUUUUAUAAUUAGAUAUAAAAAUAGAUUUUGAGAUAAUCCUAAGAACAUUUUACAUCAAAAUUAUAUACCAUGACAAAAUUUGAAGGUGCUCCUUACCUCUACAGCUACGAAUGCAUUCGUAUGCCAACUGCACCCGGUUAAUAUUUAUCUCUUUUUUCCCCCUCUAAUUCUUUUUUAUCUCUUAUUUCUCUCUCUUCAAUCUCAUCAUCGUUUCCUUAGAAAGAGUAAUCAAACACUGACUUUGGCUAUGAAAAAAAAAAGAUAUGUGCUAUACAAGGAAAUGAUGAUGAGAUUUUAGAAAGAAAAAGAAUUAGAGAGAAAAAAGAGAUAAAUAUUAAGAAAAAAUUGAGAGAGAAAUAAGAGAUAAACAUAAAAAGAAUUAGAGAUGAAAGAGAUAAAUAGAAUGAGAAAGGAUUUACGGCUUUUUAAGUGUUAUAUAAGAUGGGUUAGUUUUUACUGUACUUAAAAUGCCGAAUAAUGAGUUUUAGUUUUUACGGUACUUAAAGUACCGUAAUUGGCUUCACGGUCAUGGCCAGAGUUUUACGGUAUUUAGAGUACCGUAAUAUUACUUGCAGUUACUAAGGUAUUUUAAAUACCAUAUAAAAUGAUAUAUAUUAUGGUAGUAAGAGUAUUGUGAAUGUCAUUUUGGUCCAAAAAGAGCCGAAAAUGAGAAAAAAUGGUGUAAACGAGGUAAAUAAAAGUUUUGGGUUUUUUUUCCAAUUAAGCUUAAAUUAAGUUGUAUUUACGAUAAUUUCCCUAUUAUUAAAGAAACCGACGACCACUAGCUUCCUUACGUGAGAUAUCGCGGCCAAAAAAUUGGAUGGUCCCCUUCAAUUUUAAGGCGUUAUUUUUUGUUUAAAAAAAAGUUUAUAUAAGGUUGACAUCUUAAAUUGUAGAAUUAAGGUGCACAUCAAUCGGAACAUGCUAUUUUGAAGUUGGAAAACCCUGUAAUUGAUCAUCUUGACAAUUUGCCAGAUGUAUUAUUUUGAUUUGAACCAUUUUUCAAGAUUAAAUAUUUGUAAUUAGAAAUAAAAAUAAAUUCUCAAGCCAUCUUAAAAAUUUAAAUACCAAAAUUACAUAUUAUAGAAAACUUUGGAGGUGGGUUACAAUCUUAUGCAAAAUUGACCCUUCUAUUAAACUUGGUAUAUGUAUUGUCAAGCUCCAUGAUGAGAUAUCUGACUUCAUUUUCACCAAAUGGUAGGCCCUAAAUCCCCACUAACUUACCAUUUUUUUCCACCUUAAUUACCAAAAAAAAAAACUCAGUAUAUUUGAAUUUCCCUUUUUCUUUGUGUUGAGGGACGUAUAAGUACAUUUGCAUCGUCCGAGGCAUCACAUAGUUGUGGUCUCUUAAAAUAAAGAAAGAAAAAUCAAUGGCUUAAGAACUUUCUUAAAAAAAUUACAAUUUUUAAUUUUAAAAAUUCACAUUGAUGUUCUCCAUGUUAAGAUUACCCGUGGGAUCACAUGCAUUGUACGUAGAAAUGAAAUUUAACAAUCACAUAAAUAAUUAUGUAAAUAUGUAAUCAAGAGUAUGUAGCUAUGUUUCAAGCAUUUAUAUAAAUAAUUUCGUAAAUAUGAGAUGGAAUAGUAUAUUGAUAUACGUUAAACGAUCACCUAAAUAAUUACAUGAUUUCCCAAUGAAAAAGUGCAUUAUAUAUAAAAACAUAUUCAUAAUAUUAUCUAUGAUUCUAAUUAUAUUAACAUAGUUGUUUUAAUAUUCAUUAUAAUAUUGAUUCUAAUAUUACUAUAAAAAUAGUUAAUGACAAUAAUUUAAAUUAUUAUCUUAAUUUUAAAUUUAUAUACUUUGAAAUAAAUAUUAAAAAAUAACAUGCAUUUGGCAUGUUAUUUCGUAAAAGGUGCCCUUUCUAUUACAUAAGUUAUAUAUGUGUGAUUAGGCCCAUACUUGGAAUGUGAAUAGGUUGUGAUAGAUGCCCAUGUAUAAAUACUUUAUACUAAAAUCAUUUUAAUUUUAAGUUUCAAACUUUAAAGUUUAAGAUCAUCUUCAAAAACAAAAUUAUAGAGUUCAAUAUCUAUUUAAACUUGGAUAAGAGUUAAUGGUAAUAUUUUUUUUUUCGAAGUAAAAAAUUGAAAGAGUUUUUUAAUUUUAACUUGGAACAUUGGAGGAGACUAAUGGUAAGUAUACUUGAAUUCACUAGUAUAAUAAUGAUAUCCCUCGAAUUCUUUUUCUGAUUUAUGUUAAAUCCAUUUGAUAUAAUAACCAAUGUCAUUAAAAUAGUCUUUUUCACGUUAAAUCCAUAUGUCUUCUUUUUCAUCGGAAACCUUUUCAACUUUCCUCUUCUCACAAAUAUCUUUACUUCACCAUGUGAAAAUUACUUUUCAUAAUAUGAAAAUUCACCUCUGAAAAUGAUAAUACAUGAAUUAUUAUAUUAAUUUUAAUGAAAUUGUAAAAAUAAAUAAAUAUAUAUUGGAAUAUAUAUAAUUAAAAACAUAUAAUUAUGAUAUUCAUUGAACAUCCUCAUGUUAAAUUGGUUUAUUAAUUCUUUUUAUUUUUAAUUGUAAAUUUUAAUAUAUGACUAUAUUUGAUAUCGCCUAUAGUUUAAAAGAAUUUGAGUUUUUAAAAGUAUGGUCAUAAAAUUUGUAUAUUAUGGAAAAAAUAUUAAAAAAUAUCAUAGACCUGUCAUUUUAUUUUUGUAGAAGAUGCCUUUUUUUAUUACUUAUUUUAUUGAUGUGUGAUUAUGCCUCACGCUUUGAAUAUAAUAUGAGUAGUACUUCAUAGAUCCCCGGUAUAAAUGUUUUAUGCCAAAUACCAUUUCAACUACAAUUUUCAAACUUCAGAUUUCAAUUAAUAGUAAUUUUUUUUUUUUUAAUUAGAAAAUUGGAAGAGAGUUAAAAGAAUUCAGAGCUUUCUAUUGAUUUAAAACUUCGACUAUUGGAAGAGUUUCCUUCUAAAUUAGAAAAUUGGAAGAGAGUUAAAAGAAUUCAUAGCUUCCUAUUGAGUUAAAACUUCGACUAUUGGAAGAGAAAAUGACAGAGAGAGGAAAUAAAAAAUAGAAAAUAAAUAAGAGAAAAGAGUUUUGAUAUUUAUCUAGUGGGUUUUUUUGGGCAGUUUGGAUUUUAAAAACGGAUGCACAUUUUGAAAAUGUUAUAUAGAGAGAUUUUUAGAAAAUCAUUCUCUCUUUCGAAGUAUUUUUCUUUCCCCUCUCUCUCAUACAUUUUUUUUCAUGUCAUAUCUCUUUCUCAUUUAUUUUUACUUUUUCUCUCCCUAAAAUAUCUCUCAUAUUUAUCUUUCUUAAAUCUCAUAUUCUUUCAUAUAUAUAUAUAUAUAUCAUAUCUCUCAACUUUCUUAUUCAUUUGGUUGUCAUCUGAGUGUGUCUUUUACCGGUUUGGAUUUUAAAAAUAGCAAGGAGAUACAACUUAUCUGAGUGUGUCUUUUACCGGUUUGGAUUUUAAAAACUCAUAGCAAGGAAAUGCAACUUUUAAAAAAUACGUCUCUAAAACUAGAGAGAUUUUUUUUAAGGAAGCCAUCUUAUCUCUUAUAUAUUUUUCUCUCUCCUCCCGUCUCUUACUGGACGUAUUUUUAUCUCUCCUCUCUCUCACAUGAAAAAUGGUAGCUAUUCUUCUUUUUUAAUAUUUUUUUUGGUUAUGUGGUUCUGGUGAACAAUAAAUUUUUUUUUUCUUCUCCUCUCUCUCACAUGUUUUUUACAAAAUGGUAACUAUUACUUUUUCUUCUUUUUUUUUGAAUAUUUUUUUUAGUUUUGAUAAAGAGUAUUUUUUUUAGUUUUGGUGAAGAUACGGUAAAUAAAGCUUAGUUCUCCCUAAGAGAGUAAGGAAAUACAACCCUUCUUUUUCUUUUUUAUAUAUAUUCAAUAGUAUUUAUCUCUAUUGUGUGAAUGCCCGUCUCUAAGGCCCAUUUAAACAAUAUGUUCACACAAUGCGCACCCAAACGCAUAUUUAAAGUCAUUUGGCCCUACAUUAUCUCUACACUUUUUAUUUUUACACUUGUCCAUCCGUACGUCGUUCGCUUAAUAAUGCAGGAAUAGAUAUAUAUCUAAAAGAUUAGGUAAAAAAUCAAUCUAAAAACUGAAUCAUGAAAGGGGUACUCAUAUUUAUAUACGAGUACUAGGAAUCAUACGAGUAUAGGCUUUUCAAAAAAAGAGUACUGGAUUGGUAAAAACCGUUUUUUAGAAUUGACGAAGGAUGCAUCCUAAAAGAGUAAUGAUUUUAGAGGACUUCCUCUAUGUUUAGGACUUCAAAGGAUCACAAUUAAAAUUGGUACGGAUUUCUAAAAAAGUUAUCAUAUGGAUGUAAAACUUGACUGUUCUAUAUAUCCGUAUCAAAUUUAAUGAUGAUCUUUUGGAACCCUACACACAUGGGUAAAAAAAGGUCCUAUAGGAUCAUUUCUCUUCCAAAACUUUUGGAAUCCUCAAAGUUGGGUUUUGUGAAAGGUAUCAAACGGAGCACGAAAGCAUUUAAAUUUUCCCUCCCACUUCUUUAAAUUUGCAGAUGAAUACUCCCAUCUUUAUUUAUCUUUGCAUAGCUUAUUCUAGGAUAUUGGUUAUUUUUUAUUGGACAGUUUAGAAUUUUCCCUCCUACUUCUUUAAAUUUUAAGAUGAAUACUCCCAUCUUUGCAUUGCUCAUCCUAGGAUAUUGGUUAUUUUUUAUUGGACAGUUUAGAAUAUAGUUUAAACAUGUCAUAAACUUUUUGUUUUUUUCUAAGUCGUGAGUUUAAAUUUGCAGAUUUAUCUCGGAUAGUUUUUUUUGGCCACUUCGUCCGUCUGGCUCAGCUCACAUCCUCUCAGUCUGCUUGCCCAACUCACAUCCUCUCACUCGGCUUGUUUCACACCCUUGGCUUUCCAUUCCACUUGGCCACAUCAUCUUAUACAUAUCACUCACAUCCUCUCACUCCACUUGCUUCACAUCCUUAGCUUUCCAUUCCACUUGGCCACAUCCUCUUAUACAUAUGAGCGUAGUGCUGCUUCAAGUACACAUCCUCUGGAUACACAUCGUAGCGGUAGCGGUCCUUCAAGUACAUACCCUCUAUUCGGCACAUAUCCUCCUACUACCGUUUCACUCUCUAUUGGUAUACAUCCUCUCCCACUAUAUUUGAGCCCUUCCUCCUUGAUACUUAGUAUUAGGCACACAUCUCUUCCACUACAUAUGAGGCCCUUCCGCCUUCAUACUUAGUAUUGGGUACACAUCCUCCCACUAGAUAUCAGUCACUUCCUCUUGAUAUUACGUGAUUAAGGUAUUAGAAUAGAAUUUAGAAAUGAAGAACUUAAUGCAAAGUUUGAUAUAUGAUAAUUAUGCAGGUGAUAAGAUUGAUAAUAUUAUAUUAUAAUAUGUGACGAUUAUGGGGUAGUUAGAUUGAUGAUAUUAUACUGAGGGAUUAGAGUGAAUGAAGAAGCUAAUGUAAACAUUGAUAUAUUAUGGUUAUAUGGUUACGUGAGAAACUAUAUAAACAUUGAUAUAUUAUGGCUAUAUGGUUAUGUGAGAAACUAUUUAAUAUAAAGUGAUGAUUAUAUGAGGAACUAGUGCAUGAAUUUUAUUGACGCAAACUCCCUAUUUCACUACGAUUAGUUGCUAAAACAUGAAUUUUCUCCAGGUAAGCUACCCAUUCCACCCCAUGGUUGCUGAAACAUGUGAUGCAAAAAACCAUAAAAUUAAUUCGUCCUAUAAAAUUCAUGUUACUUUAUUAAACAUGUGAGGCAAAAAACCAUAAAAUUAAUUCGUCCAAUAAAAUCCAUGUUACUUUAUUCUUAUCGAUCUUUCUACCUUGCUUCAAGAGUAUAAAAGAGUAAAUAAUUUUUCCAAAGUUCAUAUUUUUAAAUGAUAAACAAUUUAACUAUUUCAAACCUGUGAAUAAUGUAUAAUUAAGAAAGUGUAUAGUAUUCUGGUAGAAGCAUAAACCGUACAGUUACUCCCUUAGGUCUUAGACUUGCUUGGGAAGAUAUUUCCGAUUUAAAAGUCUAGAAACUACCUAAAACGACGAUUACUGUCAAAAGAAAGAAUUUUGAUUUUUGAAAUUUCAAAAACUUAUAUCUCACCCUUCAAAAAUUGGACGGUCUCUAUUCCAUCUUGAGACAUUAUCACUUUCAAACCCAUAGAGAAUGCGAUUUGGAAAUUAGGGGUGGCCAAAGCUAGACCGAGACCCAAAAAAAUACUAUAGGACCCGAACCUAGACCCAAACUUGGACCCCACCCAAAAAAUAAAAAAAUCUGUAUAUUUAAAUAUUUAGUAAAUAUUAUUUAAAUAUCAACACUAUUCGGGUCAGGUCUACCCAAACCUGGACCCGAAUAGUAUUUGGGCCCAAGAUUUGGACCCAGACUCAACCCAAUGGUCCAAUUUUUAGACCUAUACCCAGACCCAAGUCGGGUCCACCUAUCCGGUCCAGGUUCAUUGCCACCCUUAUUAAAAUUUGGGAAAAUUAUAGAUAACCCCAAAAUCAACUUUGAAGACUUCCUAUCCCUAAUACUCUGACUAUCUCACCCUAAACCCCAAUACUAUUUUUUCUUGUAUUACCCCAGUCAACAAGUUUAAAGGUUUAAAAUUAAAAUGUCAUUUUCCUCUCUAUUCCCCUUAUUUAGUGAUCGUGUGUCCCUCUCUCCCUCUAUACCCUAACUAUCUAUUUCUCUCUACCUAAGUCUCUCUAGUGAAACCCACAUUUUCUCUCUCUCUCUACCCGCCUUCUCUCUAUCUCUCUUUCAAAACUACUCUAUCUAUCUAAAUCUAUUCUCUCUCUAACUCUUUUUUAUGCGUCGAGGAGCCCACUGGAAUGAAUUCUUGUCCAUGACCCCUGGUUUUCUUCAACCUAGUUGUCUCUGUCUUCCCAAAACUAACAAAUUAUUAUUUAUUAAACCCUUUUUUUACUCCCUUUUAUACCUCUUCCCAUCUCCUUGAACGCCCUUAAAAUUCUCUCCUUAGAUUCUCUCCCUCUAUUAAUUCCCUAUCUUUUUCCGGUUCUCUUACCAAAUUUCCGUCGUUUGCCUUCUCAACCGAAAACCUAUCUCUCAAUUUCUCGUAUAGAGAGCAACCCACUCUCCAAUUCUCAUCUUGAGAGACAGCCCAUUUCUCUGGUUUUCAAGUAGCGGAUGAGGGGCCAAUUAUUUUUUAUCAUUAGUAUGUUGAUGAUACUUUAUUAUUUUGUAAAGCAAAUGUGAACGGAAUUAUAAAUAUCAGAAGAUUUCUUCUCGAGUGCUGUGAUUUGCGAGGGACAAAAGGUUAAUUUUGUAAAGACUUUAGUUAUUGGUGUUGGCCGCCGAGAAGGGGUAGUUUCGUAUCCAGCUCAAAUUAUGAAGCGUAAGAUGGAGAUGUAUCUAGCUCAAAUGAUGGAAAAUGCAAGACGCAGACGUUUUCCCCUUUGGGACACAAUGGUAAAACAUGCUAAUAAAAAUUUGGAAAUUAAAACACUUAUAUUUUUUUUGGAGGAAGAGUCACUUUAAUAAAAGCAUCUUUAUCUAGUCUACCAAUUUAUCGGAUGUCAUUAUUAAACGGGCAUGGUGAUAUUUAUCGGAUGUCAUUAUUAAACGUGCCUGGUGAUAUUAUCAACCAAGUGAAGCAAUUGAUGAGAAAUGGAGGUACGGAUAAAGAUGUGAAUAAAUAUCACUUAAUUAGUUGGGACAUAGUGUGUACACCUAAAAAUGAUGGAGGUAUGGGUAUCAGGAAAUUGAAGUCGAUAAACCAAGCAUGGCUAGCAAAAUGGUGGUGGACUGAAGGACAUUCUUGAGUCUAAAUUUGGGCGGGAUGUUUGCCACUCUAUUAUUGCAGAGGGACAUACUGGUGAUCAGUUCUAUGUUUGGAAUGGUAUAUCAUCAAUGCGGUGCUUCUUUCUGGCUAACUCCAUACGGGCCGUUAGAAAAGGGGAUAGAGCGUUAUUCUGGCACUCAAUGUGGGCUUUAGACUUACCAUUAAAACGUCUGUGUCCAAAUUUGUUUUAGUAGAAGUGAAAAUCCAGUGGCUCACAUUUUAAAUGUCUCUAUCCAAAUUUGUUUAGUAGAAGUGCAAAUCCAACGGCUAACAUAAAUGAAGUAGGAGUUGUAGAUGGGUCUCCUGUUGUUUGGAACAUCAAUUGCAUAUAUCAGUGUAUACCCCACAUUGCGGAUGAACAAUAUGUAGAUUUACUCAGAAAUUUGGAAAGUUAUCAUCUUUCAACUCAUGCUAGCGAUGAGGGUGUAUGGGAGUUAGAAAUGGGUGGCCUCUAUCAUGUGAAAUCUGCAUACGACUUACUGUUUCAUGAUGCAUUAGAUGGAACCAAUCAAAUCUAAAGGAGAUUUGGAAAUGGAGAAUUCAUCACAAGGUACAAGUGUUUAUUUGGAUAUUAUCUCGGAAAAAAGUUCUAACGGUUGACAAUUUAAUAAAAGGAUGAAAGAUUCUUGUCAAUGGUUGUCUUAAAAGAUGAAGAGAGUGUUGAUCACUUAUUUUUACAUUGCCCAUAUACUUAUAAGUUAUGGUGUUGGGCAAUGCAAAAAGUAAGAAUUAUUAUGCUCAUGCCACAGUCAGUUACAGUAUGGAUGAGCAAUUUGAAGAUAUGUGCGGUUCUAAAGAUAGGUAGUUUGUUAUGGGAUAUCUUAAGAGGCACCCUACUAUGGGAAUUAUGACUUGAAAGGAAUAGAAAGACUUUUGAUGGUGUGGGUACAAGUAUGGAGGAACUUAAAAAUAGAUUGUGUUUCGCACUUGGAGUUGGUUUAAAGGUACAAAGGAAGGUUGGGGUACUUCUAGACAUGAUGUUGAUAAUAACUUGAACAAAUUAAUUAUGCAAAGAUUUAUCAACGUAGAAACCGCCAUCUGUGGGUUCUAUGAAAUUGAAAUUUGAUGGCUCAUCUAUUGAGAACCCAUGGGAAUCAGGCGUGGGGGGAGUAUGUCGAGAUAGCGCAUGUCAAGUCAUAUUUUGCUAUGCACGCCCUUGUGCUUUAGCGACUGCUAAUCAUGCUGAAUUGGCAGGAUUAUUACGAGGACUGGUGAUAUUUAAAAACAUGGGCUUCCAAAACAAUGUGGUCAUCGAAGGUGAUUAUCACAAUGUCAUCAAUUGGUGUACAGGUUUGUCAAGACCUGCUUAGUGGCUGUGCUCUUUGUCGCAUAAAGUUAAGGAUUUAUCUUUAGGCAGCAGAUUUACCUUUUCUUAAGUUUAUAGCGAAGAUAACUCCGUUGCAGAUGACUUGGUUACGAAAGGCAUCUCUUUGGUCCCUUUGACCGUAUCUUCUUUAUUUUAGUUUUCAUUGUAAUCUCUUUUUAUCUUAAUAAAAUCUAUUACUCUUGUCAAAAAUAAAGGGAACCCAUUUCUCAAAUUCUCAUAUUUCCAUAGAGAGAGAAGUUUGGGGGCCCGUAAAGAGAAAGAGAUAGGCCAAGUGGAGAGAGAAAGUGGGUUUCAAUAGAUAGAGACUUUGGUAAAAAAGAGUUCGUGUUAGUCUUAAUUAAAAAUCGAUAAACAAUUUACUCAAAUCUGUCUUUAAAUCACACAAGAGACUUAACGUUCCAUACCAAAACUCCCUCAAGUGCAGUUAAUUUGGAUUAACAAGUUGUCACCGAACUGUUAAUCUUACGUAACGAGUUAAACCUAUCAUUAGUGCACUAAUGGCUCACAUAAUGAAAUGUCAUCCAAGCAUUCUUACAAUUUGAUAAUAAGAAAUUUAAAAAUUAAAUAAUGUUGUACAUUGAUAAUAUAGAAAAACAAUUCUUAUCCGAAAUCUAAACAUAUCACUGGGUUUCCCCUCCAAUGUAACAUCCUAUAAAAGCUCUAAAAUAGAUCCUAGCAUAUGGCAUUGCCUCACGUCCAACUACAUGAGAUUUCACAUAUACUAUACAAUAUGGCUUUUGUAUCGUUAUUAAAAAAUAAAUUACAGAAAAAAAAGAGCCCGAAAGACUUUCUAACAUUUUAAGCAUAGAGAGAGUGAGGAACACGAUAUUUUAAUCUUAAACAUUUUAACUUGUUGAUUACGGGAUAAAUGCAAAAAAAAAAAAUAGUAUUAAGGUCUAGAGUGUGAUACUAAUAGCAUGGGGGUAAGAAGUCUUCAAAGUUGAUUUUGGGAUAAUAUAUAAUUUUCCCAUAUUUUUAUUGAAGUUGGCAAAAUGUUACAUCCCAAAAAUUUUGGUCCUAAAAAUACUUCUAAAUUGAUUUUUAUUCGCGGGAGUAGAUGGACAUAAGGCUGAUGCGGGAGAAUGAACUAUAUUGGAUGCAACUAAUCAUUACCUUUGUGAGAACAAGCAUUUGAUGAAAUAGCGGUUCCAUUGAUAUUUUCGUUGCUUUGAGUGAUGAAAUUCAUUUACCCAAAUGAGUAGUUAUGAAAUGUUUGCCAUUUUUUACCUUUGUCAAAAAUAAUAAUAAUAUUUGUUUACGUUGAUAGAGCCAUUAGGUUUGUCUUACAUGUCAUACACGCACCACAUAGGAUCAUAAUGCCUUACGCAUGUCAAUCACUGUUACCUCGUUUUUAAGAGGGGAAAUUUGACAAAAAUCCUACUUUUAUGAGAUCAAAGUUAAACAAUAGUCCUAGAUAUUUGAUGAAUUGCUAGCUUCAUGCACGUACUCCGCAAGUGUGUAAAUCAAAUUUAGUGUAUUGAGAAAGAGUUAGUUGGUGAUAGGGUGUAAAAGAGAGGUUGCGCAAUGCAAAAUAGUAAAUGCAAGAAAGCGAAUGAAGAAUUUUUCAUAUAAAUUUCAUUUGCAAGAAACGAUAGAAAAUAAAUGACCAACCGGCUAAUUCAAUAGAAGAGAAAAGAAGACCUAUCAUAUCUUCCCAUCCAAGAUAGUCCAGUCCUCGUUCAUGAUUUAGAUAAAGAAGAAAAUUCCUCUCCUAUUAUAGAAAAUUUUCGACAGCGAGUUAAAUCUUAAUCCAAAAAAUGAAUAUGAGCUUGUUAAAUACAUUUAUAUACACAUAACCACCUCCAAAAAAUGAUGGUUACGGAUGUUAAAAAUCCCUUUGUUGAUGCAAAAGGUAAUAUUUCCAAAAUAUAACAUAUACAUGUGUACUCACAAAGAACUUAGUACUCUUUGGGCAAUCGUUACUCCCCCGGCUCAAACCUGAGGUCAGUGCUGCUAUAUUUUGAAAUAAAUAAAAAUAAUAAUAUUGAGUUAGCCAACUAGAAGUAUCAGACAAUUUUUUUAAAAUGUGAAAGUGUAAUUUUCAUUAUAGACAAAAUGUCACACUUACUAAUGUAUUAGAUAACUCUCAAACCCACGAUUGAACACCCCCUUCUUGUCACUAUCAAGAUUAUUAAGAGCUUAGGAAAACCAGAUUAAAAACGUAUAUUCCUUUGAAAUACAAUAGAAUACCUUUCAAACCCAAAAACGAGAGAUUUUUAUGGCAAAGAAUGGAAAUUGUUUUGUCCAUUAAUUGUUAUUUUUACAUUUUCCAAUUUUUUUUAAAAAAAUUUAAAAAUACUCUGAAUACAAAUUGAUUCUUUAAAAUUUAUUUUUAUUCAUUUUGAAUUUCAUGUAGAUGUGCUUUAUUCAAUCAUUCUUUAUAUAUAUUUUUUAUAUUAUAUUAAAUAUUUUUACAUUUUUUAUUUUUUAAAAAAAUUUUGACUCCCCAAAACUUGCCUGGUUAGAACGAUUGAACAGUCCGACUUACCCCAGUUGAAUCGCUUAUGGGCCAAAAUCUUUCCGGUUUGAAAUUUCCUACUGGCUGAGGCCCAACGUGUGCGAGUCUAAUGCUAACUUGUGGAAUAGAGAUUGUACCGUGCUCUUGUAGAGCACCAGAGAGAGAAAAUAGGACAAAUUAGGGCUAGAAAGCACAAGUGAAAAUCUAUCUCAACUUUAUUAGCACAAUAAUUAUUCUCUUACAUGAACUACUUUCAUGUGCAUCUCUUUAUACACCUGGGUUCCUCGUAUUAUGAUUUUAAAGAGAGAGCCCACAGAUUUGCUUCUGGUGAGACUUGGGUAGUCCGCCCAGUUUCAUUUAAUGAAGAAUCAAGAUUUUUUUAUUUUUUAUUUUUGGCCAAGGGGCUCCAUCCCAAUUCCUUUCUAUUGGAAAGGAUAUGGAUCUAAAUUUCCUCAUUAAAACCUUCUUUUUUAACUUGAUUAUGAUUUGAUCUAAAUUUACUUAUUAAAUUCUCAAGAUUCCCCAUUCAAAUCUUCUUUUUUAACUUGAUUAGGAUUUGAUCUAUACCUCAAUAAAUUCUUUAAAUUUGAACACGACUCAUUGCCCAUCUUCCUUUUAAAAAAAAAAGUGGGUAAUUCUUCCUUCUUUAAAUUUGAACACGACUCAUUGCAUAUCUUCCUUGUCCAAAAUUAAUACUUUCAAAAUCAGUAUUUGAUUCUAUAUCUUAUGCAAAAACUAUAUGGGUGCGGUUUAUAGAAGCCAUCCACCAUAAACAAUUAAAGACAACCGCUAAACCAUGCAGAAAAGAUGCAGUUCUGACGCUGGAAACCCUUCUCAUCACCUUAAAUCUAUUUUUACCCUAACCAUGAAAUUUAAAACUCUAAAAAUACCUUAGAUUGAGAAAAUUUAUAUACACGGGGUUCAAAUAAGGUACUAUUUAUUGAACUUUAAAAUAUUUUUUUGCCAUAUUCAUACAUCGGGCAAGAUGCUCAAUUGGAGAGUUUUUCAGCACAGGAAUAACCUUUACUUUUAAGGUGCACCUCACCUUUAUAAAAUUAACUUGAAUAUCUAUCCGUAUUGCCAAUCUAAUUGCCAACUCCAAGGAGUCCUCCAACACACAAAGGGACACUCCUUGUAGUCAUUUAUUUUUGGGAAACUUCAUAUGAAAACAUUUCAAAUAACCCUAAUUUCACGAAUUUGGUGAUUAUUCGGCACAUGUACUGAGUUCCAAAAAUCAUAAAAAUCUGGAAAUGUCAAAAUAUAUUGAUCUAGCUCUAUGUUUGGAAGUUGAUUUUCGAUACGAAUUUCAGUACUCACCUCUAUUUUGAGUUUUUGAAAAUUGAUAGAAAUUUGAAAUAAAAAAGAAAAAAAUAAAAAGAGGAAAAUAAUAUGGAAGGUCCAAACCAAAUUGCCAUAAUGCAAAGAUAAAUCUAUAAGAAGGCCGGAGGUAAGGGAUGUAGCACCUCUAAUAAAGAGCCAAUACUACCGGGAUUGGACCGACCACCGAACAUAUAAAGGGCCUACUCUAAUUAAAAUCAUUUAGAUUGUAGGUUGAAUUGGUUAGACUAGGAAUAAUAAUUUAAAGAAUUAAAUAUAUAACAAAAAAUACUCAACUUUGUUUAACUGAUCCGACUGGUCAAAUCGGCUUGUCCUAUUAGCCAUUGUCUUAUUAGCCAAUAUUGGAGUAGUAUUAGUUUUGAAUGGCUUUCGACCAAAUUCAAUUUUUGCUUUAAAUCAAAACGGCAAAAGCUCUAACGGGCAAUCUAACUAAUCGAUUUGGGUAGUCCACUAUGAUCUUAAUAACUAUAAAAUGGCCUCAAACAUUAGAGGAAGUGUGGUCAACAGCUAACUCACACAUUGGCAAAAGAAAAAGAAAAAAGAUAAAAGCGAGCUCAUAAAGGAUGACAAACUUCUAGUUGUGGUCCAAAACUCGAUCGAGUUACCCUGCCUCAUCACCCUUUUCAGGUUACAAACAUUCAUUUAUCCAAAGGGUUUUAAAAAAGAAAAUGGUUUGAUAGGAUCGCAGCCCUAUCAGAAUAAGUAAAACCUCACCUCAUACGUGCAAUUCAAGCAUUGAAAAACCUUUACAUUGAUUAUCUCGGUUUGAACAUUAUGGUUGUUAAAAAAACAUUGAGAUUUCAAGCUCUACAAAUAGUGUUUAUUGUAACAAAUUAUCUAGACCGCUCAUUUCGCCCUAAAAAUAAGUGUUCAUAAAUUUAUGAGAUAUGUAUUAUUUUUUAAUUUCAAAAAAUAAGUGUUCAUAAAUUUAUGAGAUAUGUAUUAUUUUUUAAUUUCAAAUUUUAUUAGCAGUGUUGAAAAUUGAUUUUAAAACCAUCAUUAAGAUAUUCACUAUAGGCUAGAGGUCCAUACGUGAGGAAACCACCCUUUGCUCACAAAUAAAGCAAUUCUAUCUUCACCGCUCACGAAAGACAAUGAUAAUGGCGGGAUUUGCAGCGGCACCAUAAUCGACAACAAUCAUACACGCUACCCAAGUCGUUGUUUAAACCCUAGGCCUUAUACAAACUUUAUCCAAAAGAAUUUUACUAAAGGAAAAUUAUUUGAUAGGGUCCCCAUUAACAUGAGUAAAUCCUCACGUCAUAACUCAUAAAAAAUUGUAAGUCAAGCUUUGGAAAACCUUUACAUCAUAUCAUUUCGAAUUGAACAUUAAGUUUGUGACAAAAAUUACGAUUUCAAGCUUUAAAAAGAAUGUCUAUGGUAACAAAUUAUCUAAAAUAUCCAUUUUGCUUUACCACUUUUUGAGUUCGAAUUUUUAUUGUGGAAUUGGAAAUUGAUUUUAGAACCACCAUAGAUAUUUAUGUUGCUGAAAGAACUUUCCAGAGGAGUAUUUGAGGUGAGGUUUUAUUUCGUUUUCAUAAAGCCUAGGCCUUAUAGAAACUUUAUCCUCUAAAAAUUUUAAAAAAAAAAUUAACUAAAAAAUUUAUAAAUGAUGAAUAGCUCAGUAAUAAAUGAGUUGAGCAAUUGAAUAGAGGCAUAAGGCAUAAGGAAAUACUUAACGGAUGCAACCUGUACCUGCUAAUCAAUCUUCUCUGUCCUCCUCAUCUCUCUACGCGUGCAUUGUGUGUUUUGUCAGAGAGAGAUGGUCCGAAGGUUGUGAUCCAUUUCUCAGUGUCUAUGCGCUUGUGUAAGUUCAGAGCCCCAUGUGUGUUUUAGAGAGAGAUAUAAAGAGGUGAGAACGGCUGCCCUAAUGCUCAUGUCUUACUAGAAUUAAAACCACUGAACCAGUAAGUACAUCCUCAACAUAAACUUGCUAUAUGCAGUUAGAAAUUUAACCCAAAGCAGUCAAGCCAAGAACCAUGCCACCUCGUUUUCCAUAAAUAGAAAUGGAAGACGGCCAUGGCAACGCAAUAAACUUGCAAAUCAACUCCUAGAAUGGAAAUCAGGUUGCAGAAAUAUGAAUUCUGAAAGCCACGAAGCUUCGUCUACUGAAUAUUACAAGAGAGAAAAUCAUUUCAGAGAGAGAGUUUAAAGAAAUGGCAAGAGUGAACUGAUGGGCGCCAAAGAUAGAACACAACGUUUUAGAGAAACCACAAAUGGGCUCAAUUACCCCCAAAAGAUGUUCAGAGAGAACUCUAGAAAGAGAAAGCAUUAAAGAUGUUUAUAGAGAAACAGUCAUGGGGCAGAGAGCGAGAAAAGAAGAAUGCUUUGUUAGAUCUAUGAAUAUCUAUUCUCAAGCUGAGUUUGUUAAUGAGAAAGAGAGAAAAAUAAAUGUGAGAAUCUCAUUAACAAAACCAAGAAAACGCUUUGAGAUUAGAAAUAAUUUAAAGGAGUAAUCAGGCCCAUUUAAAGAGAUUACCGAACAUUAAAGAGAGAAUCUCAGUCAUGCUUAUAGAGACUGUAUUGAAAAUAAAGGGGCUUGAAAAGCAAGGGUGGGGAGAUAAAGAGCAAAAGGAAAAGUAAACUUCCAACCCUGUGUGUGUGAGAGAGAGAGAGAGAGAGAGAGUGAGAGAGAGAUGAAGCCAUUAAGUCUAGAUGAGAAGCAUCUAAUUCAAUUGCACAUUGUAAUCAAGUAGAGUGGAGAAAGAGAGAGACAUCCAUUGACUCUAGAUCUUCUAAUUCAAUUGCACUAAGCAAUCAGGUAGAGAGAGAGAGAGAGAGAGAUUCAUUGAAUAUAGUUCUUGUAAUUCAAUUGCACUUAGUAAUCAAGUAGAGAGUGAGAUCUCCACAUCAAUCUCCAAAAAAGGCAAUAUAAUUCAGAGUUGACAUGACAUAUGAGUGAGAGUGAGAGAGAGAGAAAGAGAAGCAUCUUCUCAAAUAUUAUCAUUCACAAGAGAAGAGAGAGAGAGGCAUCUUCUCAAAUCUUAUCAUUCACAAGAUAAUCCAUGGAAAUAAAGGGGCUCACAAUUUAAAGCCAUCAACAAAACAAUUUGAAGUUAUCAACAAACAGAUAUUCACUAUGAAACAACUGAGGAGCAGAGAUAGAGAGAGGGCUCUAUGUCUUCCACCUAAUUUACCAAUUUGAGAGAGGACCCAAUUUAUGAGAUAGAGAGUUCAAAAAGAGAGAGGGCUCCAUACUUUCCUUCUAAUUAACUGAUGAGGGAGAGAGUUCAAAAAGAGAAAGGGCUCAAGGUCUUCCAUCUAAUUAUUAACUGAUUUGAGAGAGAGAGAGAGAGAGAGGGAGGGAGUUCUAGGCCUUCCAUCUAAUUCACUGAUCUUUUAUUGAGAGAGAAAGAGGUCUCUAGGCCUUCCAUCUGAGUGAUUUUUAGGUAGGGAGAGAGAAGGCUCUAAGCCUUCCAUUUAAUUUAUUAAUUUUAAGAGAGUGAGAGCUAUAGGCCUUCUAUCAAACUCAUUUUUUUUAGAGAGAAAAGGCUCUCCCGUCUAAUUCACUGAUUUUUCAUUGAGAAAGCAAACUCUAUACCUUCCAUCUAACUGAUUUAAGAGAGAAAAGGCCUCACGCCUUCCAUCUAAUUUGCUUAUCCUUCAUUGAGAGAGAACUCUAGGCCUUCAUCUACCAGAUUUUAGAGAGAGAGGAUCUCUGAACUCUUGGGUGCAACCAAGUUAGUGAGUCACCUAGAAUGCAAGAAAAAAUUGUACUGAUCAUGAGACCGAUGCAUAGACGUGGUGUAGGAGUGGUACCUGAUAUCCGAUGAGCCCCUAAAACUAGACCUGGACCUGGAGCGAAGACGAGCGGCCAACCCCAAAGCCCAUGACGAAACCCUAAACAUUCCUUCUGCAACCUCCACCAUUUCUCCCAACCUGCAAAAACUCUUCCUCAUAAUCACUCCCAACCAAACUGAGAUCCCCACCUCCCAAUACCUCAUUUUCUCUCACUAAAACUGCCUCGCAACCCUCAUCAUUUCAUCUUCUCACUAUAAAUGUGGUGCAGUGGACCCUCUCUCUCACUAUAAAUAUGGAGCUGUCUCUCUCUCUCUAGAUUGCAUCCCUGGUUGCCUUGUGCGUAUGCGAUUU
Molecule: long non-coding RNA, 61238 nt
Filed under: Amborella trichopoda
Lineage: Eukaryota; Viridiplantae; Streptophyta; Magnoliopsida; Amborellales; Amborellaceae
Description: long non-coding RNA (ATRI_LNC002643)
Source: RNAcentral